RNAcentral lists this long non-coding RNA (59643 nucleotides) under Linum usitatissimum (flax). RNAcentral's name for it is "long non-coding RNA (LUSI_LNC004611)". The record is from RNAcentral. Lineage: Eukaryota; Viridiplantae; Streptophyta; Magnoliopsida; Malpighiales; Linaceae.
UAGAAUUCAGAAGCCCAUAUUUUUCAAUGAAAUGGAUUUUGGUGCUUCACCUUGAAUUGUACUCAUCGUGAAUCCGCCCCAUCCCACCGUCUGCAUUGAGAGAUGAUGGAAAUCAGUACAGGUAGGUCAUUCAAUUAUUGCCUAUUGGCGCUUUACUAUAACGUCGUUAACUUACCAUUGACAUAUUGAAUCCUUAUUUAUUAUGUAGGCCAUGGGUUUUUCUGUUCAAGCUAUUAGAAAUAAUAACAUCAUUGUCUGCUCCUGGCAAGUAGCACAAAUGAAAUCAACGUUCAUAAACAGUGAACCAUUUAAAGUAACUGGUUCAUCAGAUCUUGAAUACAAAUUCUUCUAUCUUUUUUCUUUCUGAUAAAUCUUGAAAUACAAAUCUUAAUCUUAGUAGUAUAUGGUUGGUGCAGAACAUCAUGGGUAAAUUAAAUGACUAGCCAUCAGUCAAGAAGAUAAUGAAAUUAACAAAGUUAGUGAGGAUCGAACCAGCCAAAAGCAUUACUUAAUUAAGGAAGAAACAAAAGAUCAGAGCAGGUUCAUUUAAGUAAUAACAGCGACGGGCUGCUGGAUUAUUCAUCAUGUGAUCCAACCACAAAAACACAGAAACAACAACAACAGCAGCAGCUCAGCAACAUCGAUCUACACACAGUAACUCUCACCAAAUGAACUGAAAAGACAAUAUACGAUGAUAUAGAUCGAGCUACAUGAAUGGGCGGAUGAGAUCUGGUGGAUCAGUCGCUGUCGCUGCUGCUGCUGCUGUCAUGGCCGUCCUUCUUCUUAUCCUUCUUGUCCUUCUUCUUCUUCUUGUCUUUGUUCUUCUUCUCCCCUCCUUCGGCGUCGUGGUGGUCGCCGCCGCCGCUGAUUUUGUCCUUCAACUUGUCGACGAUGCCUUCCUUUUUGUCUUUGGAGUCGCCGGAGUGGUGAUCAUCUUUCUUCUUGUCCUUGCUGCUGUGAUCUUCCUGCUUCUUGUGAUCUUCUUUUUUGUCCUCAGAUCCUCCUCCCAUGUGGAGCUUCUCCUUUAUGUUUUCGAUGAUUCCUGCCAUCUUCUUUCUCUCUUUAUAUCUCUGUUUGCUUGAAUUGUAGAAGUUGUGCUGAGCAAGUGAAGCAGGCUCCCCAAUUUAUAGCCACACAACACGUGACUAUGCAGCGGCGAAUGCGCGGAGGGAGGAAGAUUACUUCCCCCACCAUUAUUGAGUAAAAAUAUCUAUUAGUUGAUAACGCGUCUUUCCUUUUCUUUUUUUUCCUUUUCUUUUUUUUCCUUUUCCUUUUUCUAAUCGCGUCUUUCAAACUUAUCACAACAGUACACGUGGAGUCAUGAUCUAGGACGGGGAAACCCGGCCCGUCAAACCCGGAAAUCCGGUAGUAUAUGUAAUAGGGCAGGUCUGGGUCCGGAAAAAGGGGUGGUCGGAUUCCAGAUUUACCGGGUUAAAUCCGAUAAAAUUAGACCCGGUCCAAACCCGUUUCAGCCUUCCAGUCUCCUAACCUUCAGGCUCCAGUUUCGGCUCAUUCCCCCACCCAUCACAAACCCAAAUCAGCCCAUACAUAGGAAAAUCGCUAUCCCUAUAUUCUUCUCCCCAGAUGGACCAGAGACAAGCAUGUAAGUUGUAGUGCAGGCUCCAGUGUUUGCAGUUCACAAUUCUGCCGCCUGGAGCACCGGGCGACAAAGGAGAAAAGGAGCGCCAACUGUCGAGCGACGAAGGAGAUGAGUCACAGGAGCCGACCGUCCACUAGGUUAUUCAUGAGAUAGAUACUAAUGCUAGAGAAUUAAAGAGACAAUUCGAAAAUGCAACUAUUGUGAAACAUGUCGCAAGACUUAAAGUGACUACAUUAUUGUGAACUUUGGACUUGAGGCUAUGUUUAUGUUUUUUUAGCUAGACUGAUUUUUUAUUUGUGUUUCAUCGGUGUGUUAUUAGAAAUAUAUAAAAUAAGAAGGAGUUACACUAUUCAUUAAAAAGCUUUUUAUAGUUACAUUUUAAAGUUUUUAGUUAAUUUUCAACACUUAUAGUUUCCUUCCUCAACCAUUUAGUUCAUUUUCUAUUUCAUUAGUUGUAUUAGUUUGCUUUAACUUUCUUAAUUAGUUAUUAGUUGUGGUCGAUGAUUUUAACGGAUUAGUCCGGCCCGGUUAAUCGUACUUCGGAUAACUCGAAAGCCCGAACUAAGAAAAAACUUUUAAUUAGGAGGGCCAAUGAUCAAGCGGUGAAGGAGAUGAUUCACAGGCACCGGCCGCCCACUAGGUUAUUCAUGUUAUGGUGUUUAUAGUUGGAUUAGGAGCUUCUCUAACUCUAAGUCUAACUUUUAUUUAAUUGAGAUAUUUUGUCCGGUGUCGUCCCAUAGCAUUUUUAUCACUUUACCGUAGUCAGAAUUUAAGGUGUUUCAGGAAUGUGGUUCCAAUUUGAUUAUGUGAUGUACUUGCACGAAAGAGAGCAUAUUAACUAGAGGUGUUCACUUGACACGUGAUCAUGGUAUCAAAACUCCAACAUGACAUUUUGCCAAAUAAAACCAUCACUUUGUACAGUUUGUUUGUGGAACUUAACAGGUCUUGUUACGCUUAUGAAUAGAAACGUGAACUUACAAUGUUGAAGAGAUUAUAUGACUAAGCGAAAAUAAUGAAACAUUGGUCGGGUAAUUUAGAGUUAUCCGUGCCACAUAGUGGACGGCGCCAUUACUUGAGCGGGAAACAUGAAUAAGAGAAACCAAAUGGAUAACGAAGCCUUAUGUCAGAGAUGGAUGAAUUGACAUUCCGAUAGAAUUUGUCCUACCCGUAUGUCAGGAUGAAUUGAUAAGCCGAACUGUUGAGUCUGAAUGGAUGACGAAGCCUUCCAGAUAUCAGAUUUAUGCAACAAGUAAGGCUUGUCGAAAUGUUAGGAACUCAAUAAGUAAAGGGUUCGUAUAGUUAGGAAAUACUUGUGUUGUACCCGAGAAAAGAGUGUCGCAUCUCCGUCGAACCAUAAGACUGAUUGCUCCAAAUUAACGGAUAGAAUCCACGACACGAACAGCAGCGUCCACAUGAACAAUCCAAACUUCAUAAGGAGGGAAGGGCUGAGGCGCUGCAGCAGAGAUUAUAUGCUGAGGACGAGAUUGAAGGUGAGCUUUGGAUGUCAUGUGUUGAACUGCUUCCGACCAUUGGAUGCUAAAUUGACAGUACAAACAUUCAAUCAUUCGUUGGAGAUUGUCCAAAUUUCUGGAAAUUAGUGCUUCACAAAUCGGGAGAGCUCCUGAAAAUAACUUUUUGUUGGGUGCUAUUGGGCCUUCUCACCCUAAAAGCUAGCUCAAAGGGCGAGGCUUUCCCUCACACUUAUAAACAACACCCAGCCCGUUUCACUCUCCGAUGUGGGAUAACCCAACAACCUACAUCGGUCUCUCGAUAGGCAUUACCCAUCUACUGGUUCUGACCGGAUCACCAUCCGUCCUUUGGACCGGAUCCCGGGAGGUGUUGUCAACCUAGGCUCUAAUACCACUGUUGGGUGCUAUUGGGCAUUCUCACCCCAAAAGCUAGCUCAAAGGUGAGGCUUUCCCUCAUACUUAUAAACAACACCCACCCCUUCCACUCUCCGAUGUGGGAUAACCCAACACUUCGAAAUGAAAUAAUGCAAUUUUGGUUGGAUGGUGAGUGACCAAAUGAUCUCCCAAAGAGCAUAAUCAACCAUAGAUGGACCGGCCUUCACAUGAAGAUGAUUAUUGCAAUUUGAAAAGCUCAUCAUAUAUCCCGAGGAAGCAGAAUAAUAGCCGGAGCAAGAAUGAAUCCAUACCCAACAAUCUGAUUGAGGCGUUUGAGGAAGUGUUAUAGACAGAAUUGAAUCAACCGAUGCAGGUGAGAAGUAUAUAGAGAGUAGAUCACGAGUCCACCACCACCGACGAUUAAAUCAGAAACUAGAGUGGGCAAUCGGAGUCAGUGGUCAUGGGACUGGCGCUUGAGGUGGAAUCAUCGAUAGCCAAUUCGCUGAAAUAGGAAUGGUUGAACCCGAGCCAAUCAACCAACGCCCACCAUCAAUCAACAGAUCUCUUCCGAAAAGCAUUCCUGGCCAUCCACAGCUCAGAUUGGAGCCUUUGAUCGUUGUUAAAAUAGUUGUCGUGGGAAAGUAUCUCCCUUUCAGGACUUGAAAGACGAGAAGAGAAGGUGAAUUGUUAAGACGCCAGCACAAACCAGCAAGGAGAGAUUGAUUUAUAGAUUGGAAAUCUCGAAAACCUAACCCUCCAUCCAACUUUGGCUUACAUAAGUAGUGCUAGGAUUUCGAAUGAAUCGGACGAGUCGAGUGGGUUGCACGCUACCAAUAUCUUGCAAUUUGCUUAUUUAGACGUAGAGAGAGAGUCUCAUGGAAUUUAACAUCGACAGUGCAUAAUAAGGAAUAGCUGCAAUAAUAGAUUUAAUUAGAACUUCCAUACCGGUUGGAGACAGACAUUUUUCUUUCCAACCUUGCAAGACCUUUGCGACCCGAUCGUCGAUAAAUUAAAGCUAUAAACCCUUGAGCAUUCAAUGUGAAUUGGGAGUCCAAGAUAUUUGUCACAUUGACCAACUUGUGCAAUUUGGAGUGAGCUGCUGAAAUAUUCCUGCAAAUAAACCGGAGUAUUCGAACUGAAAAAUAUUGCAGACUUUGUGAGAUCACUUUCUGACCACUCAAAGCCUGAUAAGAUUGUAGCAAUGAUCUGAGACUUAAGCAUUCACUAGAUGAAGUUCGCAAGAACAAAAAGGUAUCAUCAGCGAAUAGAAUAUGAGAUAAGCAUGGACAAUGUUUGUUGAGGCGAAUAGGAUUGAGCUGCUGUGUAUUUAAAGCGUUAUGGAGAAGAAAUAUAAAGCCUUCAGUGCAUAAAGUAACUAGAACUGGUGAUAACGGGUCUCCUUGACGGAGUUCUCGUCGUGAUGGAGUAAAAGUAUGUGAAGGAUUUCCGUUAACUAAAACGGGAAAGGAAGCGGUAGAAAUAAAUUCCCUAAUCCAACAAUUCCACUUGGAAUCAAAACCGAGUCGGUCCAUAAUAGUGAAGAGGUAUGACCAUUCAACACAAUCAUUAGCUUUCUCCAUAUAUAAUUUAAGAGCCAUGAAAUAUUGUUUCCCGGUUUUCUUACAUUUAAGAUAAUGCAUAAUUUCAUGGACCACUAUAACAUUGUCAGAAAUUGACCUUUCUUGAAUGAAGCCAUUUUGAGUAGAACUAAUAAUGGAAGGAGAAUGGAUGAUAGUCGACCUACGAGCAAUUUCGAGAUAAUUUUGUAAACCAUUGGACAUGGUCAUAUAGGUCUGAUUUGAUGCAUGGAAGUAGCUGUAGUGACUUUAGGGAUCAAGGUCAACCACGUAUGAUUGACACUAUGUAAGAUUCGGAAUGAAUGGAAAAAAACUCUAAUAGCACCGCACACAUCUGGUCCGAUAAUAGACCAGAAAUGUUAAUAAAAACCAGCUGAAACCUAUCAAACAUGGAUAUUUUGAGGCUCCUAUUGAGAAAACUGUUUUAGGAACAUUUGAGUCAGAGAAAGGCCUUGUCAAUGCCGCAUUCAUUGCAGUUGUAAUGCGUAGGGAUCCAAGGUUAAGAUCAUCCCAAAUAUUUGGUUGAGGGUUGGAUGGUAGGUCAGACAAAAAUUUUGUGUUCCUAUCACCAAAAAUCAUCCAGCCAUCACAGCAUUUUUGUAGCUAAUAACGACUUUCAAGAUCACAAGCAGUGUGGAGUUUGCAUUCUAAGGGUAUAAUUCGAUCCCACGGAGUUGGUGAAAUGUCUCUAAUAGCUGAGAUUGCAUCUUUGAGUUCUCUGAUUUGACGAGCCAAAUUAGAGACCCCUGAUUUUUGCCAAGAGUCUAAAAAGUGAUGAAGUAGUUUAAGUUUUUCACGAGAAACAAACACGCAAGAACCAGGCACAGAAAUGGACCAAGCCGCUUAAACUAGUCCUGUGGUCUCAAAAUUAUAAGCCAUCUAUUAUCGAAUUUGAAUGUUCGAGUAGAUGGUCUUUGGAUCGAUGGUGAAAGAUCAAGGAGAAUUGCACGAUGAUCAUAUUCAAGAUCCGUGAGAUGGGAGAUCCUAUCAUUGAGAUAAGAAGUUACCAACUCUAGACAAAGCAGAAAGCGAUCUAGUAUAGAUUGGAUGAGUAAAUUUUGAUCUACGCUUCUGUUUGACCAAGUGAAAAUGGUACAUGUGUAUUCAGUGUCGGAAAGAACGACAUCAUUAAUGAAUAUUCUGAACCUUGAAACCAGAGUUGAUCUAAUGGGGAGCCCCCCUGAUUUCUCCGUAUUGUACAUGACACAAUUGAAGUCACCAAAAAUGAUAAUUGGAUGACUCAUUUGUCGUACCUAUGCUAAAAUUUCAUCAAAUUGACCAACUCCAAUAGAGGAAUCCCAAGAGAGAUAUACACCAACACAAAUAAACACUGGAUUAUCAGGCAUAGUUGUCUGAACCAUAAUACAAAAACUAGUCUAAAAUAACAUAGUAAUAGAGACACUAGAAUGCCAAGUGCAGACAAGUCCACCUACAUUUUCACAUGAGCACUCGAUAAUAAUAGAGUUACCAGAUUGGUAGCCUAUUGAACGAAGUAAUCGUACCACACCAUCAGAAAAAUAUUUGGUUUCAGAGAGAAACAAAAGACGUGGAUGGUAUCUGGUACGAAGACUGUGAAGUGUAUCCCUAAUGAGGGGGGCACCGAUACCUCGACAGUUCCAGGCAACGGUGGUCUUCAUUCCGGCUCCGGGGCCUGUCCAGGUGAUCCCCCUCCACCAUUGAUGUAGAUAAAGUUGCGGAGAUGGAAAUCAUGUCGGGAUCACCAUCCAACAUAUCAUCCGGAAGUAGUUCUAAGUCAAGAGUAUGAGGUGGGAAAUCAUCCACAGUCAAAGGUAAGGCUAACUUUUAUUUCUUAGGCAUAGACUCAGAAUCAAUCCCAUCAUCCUCAUCUCCCAGAUACACACGGUCUUGCUUCUUGUCAAUGAUCAUGAGGUCUUGCAUUCCUCAACAGCACGGAUUAACACAUAGACUAUUGUUAAGAAAAGGAUCAUCAAAGUAGGGAGGAACACAGCAACAGAAAGCAGAUGGACUACACCAAAAUAAGCACAAGUUAUGUUUUAAUAAAGGUUUAAAAGGAGGUCCAUGACUUAAAGCCGUAAGGGAAGAGGAAUAUUGAAGAAUAACUGAUAAAGGAGUAGUUGUUACAAAGCAACAGAUUGGAGCUAUUUUAGAUGUAAUGAUAGUACCAGUGGAAGGAAGCACAUUCACACUAGGCAUGGCAGAACUACGGUCCUGACCUGUUGAAUUCGAGCCUGGAUGUUCCGAGUUUCCUUCAGUCGAGUCAUCAAUAGAGACGUAUGUGUGGAAGAUUGAAGGUAAAGGCUUCAAGUAUUUAUUCUUUUGCUUCGAUUUCGAAGCCUCAGUGAAAUUUCGUUGGGAACCAAAUUCCCAUACGGCGUUGCUAACAUCUAAUCACCUUGCUCUUGCAGAUUCCAUGGGAGCAUAGCCGAAUAAGGACAAUGACCAUGUCUGUGUCCCAGGAGGCCACAAAUGAAACAAACAGUAGGGAUAUCCUCAUACCUCAAUCUAACCCACAAAGGAUUUGCUCCGCCAAAACUGGCUCGGAUAUGUCCUUGCAAGCUCCAAAGCAAGUCGAUUUUCACGAUGUAUUUGACAAAAUGGUGUCCCUGCCCAUCAGAGCGAGCAGAGAAAACAUUCGAAUCAAUGAGAGUGCCUAAGGGAAGAAAAUGCGAGAUCAAAAAGUCACAGUAUUGCAAUGUUCCGGCAGGUUCUUGAGUUGGAUCGUAAGUGGCAUACAGCAUAGACGAUCAAAAAGAUCCUGCGAUGGAGUCUCCCAAGGAACAAGAUGCAUGAUUGCACUCUUAUAAGCCCAAUGCUAUUUUUCGAAGACACUAGCCUUGUCCUCUGUUGAAUAAAGGUAAUUUGCAAUAUGGAAUUACCUUUAAAAAUCUAGAGAUUUCCUACUCUAUAAAUCUCUCUAAAAGUAUCUAUCAAUCACUCAACUACCUAAUUAAAUGUUGUGACUAAUUAAAAAACUAAAAAUUCCUACAACCACAUUCUAAGACGGUUAUGUGGUCUUCCAACAAAAAUCUUCAUUAUUAUAAUCAAUAUGUAGUAGUAUAAAUAUGUGUUGAGUGGAGAUGUAGAGAAGUGUAGAGAACAAAACAAAAAAAAGAGGAAGUAGAGAAUGCUCGGCGCGGAGUUUUAAAGGUCCAAGUAACCAAAUUAUAAUAUCCAUAAAAUUGAGUGAUUAAUUGAGUGAGUUAUCAAAAUACUAUCUUUUCUAUCCUAAAUUCCGCUACAUUUCCGCUAGCACCUCAAAAAAGCUGAGUAUGCUCUUUGGUUCCGGUUUUAAAAACUUAUCUUCCACAUUAGAAAAGUUACACUUUAGUACUUUGAUAACCAUAUUAUAAUCUACCCUCACAAAACCCUCUCAAAAACGCUACCAAAAGAAUCCCCGCAAAAUCCUAUGGCAGCACCAUCGUCAAGUUCCAUGUUCGCCAACUCUCCAAAUCAAAUAUCAAUUUUUGAUGGAGAAUUGUACGAAUACUGGAAAGUACAAAUGGAGACUAUCUUCAUAAAUAUUCAAAAGCACAUGACGAAGCUUAUGGGAUCACUUGUAGCUCACAAGAAGAGAUUGAGCCGUUUUACCAACCAACAACUCGAGCAAACUUUUCAUUCUAAGGUUGACAUCAAAGGAGAUAAAUCAUCAAACCAGGAGCAAAACCGCAGAGGGGGUAAUUUUUAGAAAAAGGGAGGAAAACCAAAUUUCAAGAAAAACAACAACUGGAGCCAGAAUCAGAAAUAAACAAACAACUCCAAAGACAGAUACAAAAUUUGCAAAAAAUCUAACCAUGCUACCAAAGAAUGCAGGUUUAGGUGUACCAAGUGUAAUAUUCAAAAGCACUCUCAACAAGAUUGCUGGUUCCAGGACAAGAAAGAAGAAGGCGAAUCAAGUUUCACACAGAAGGACGAAGAAAAAAUGGUCGCAUACACUUGCUUCAAAGCCGAACAAAAAUCUCAACUUUCAUGGGUGGUGGACAACGGUUGCAGUAAUCACAUGACUGGAGAUCGGGAGUCCUUCACCGAGAUGAUUGAUACAUAUAAGUCCCACGUGAAGAUUGGAGACGGUAAAAAGCUGGAAGUUGAAAGAAAGGGUACAAUCAUCGUACAAGGAAAGGGGGUGACAAAACUCUAAUCCAAGAAGUUUUGUACGUUCCUGAAUUAGCUCAAAAUCUUCUAAGUGUUGGAAAACUAAUGCUUAAAAAUUACAAGCUAUUGUUUGAUAAUGGGGAAUGUGAGAUUACCAAAAAAAUCCAACAACUCGAAGGUGGCAAAAAUUCUAAUGACUUUCAACAGGAUAUUUCGUCUCACAAUGGCAACGAAUGAACCAUUAGCAAUGAAGAGCCAAAGCAUGGAUGAAUCUUUCCUAUGGCAUCUCCGAUAUGGACACCUGAACUACAAAGGUCACAAACUGUUGAAGCAUAAAAAUAUGGUUGUUGGUCUUCCCCAAAUCAACAAAGAAGAUAAGGUAUGUGAAUGAUGCAUAUAUGGCAAAAUGCAUCGCUUGCCAUUUCCAAAAACUACUUGGAGAGCAAAAGCACCACUAGAGUUGGUACAAACUGAUAUUUACGGACCAACUAGAACAACAUCCAUAGGUGGGAAGAGAUACUUUCUACUAUUUAUGGAUGAUAAUACUAGAAUAAUGUGGGUAUUCUUUCUUGAGCCAAAGUUAGAAGAUUUCUCCAAGUUCCUUCAAUUCAAAGCAGCAGCUGAGAAGGAAAGCGUGCAUCAAAUCAAAACACUCCGAACAUAUCACGGUGAAGAGUCAUCUACAAACCGUUUAUGGAGUACUGUCGCACCAACGGAAUCAAGAGGCGGCUGACAGUGUGGUACACACCACAACAAAAUGGCGUAGCAGAACGAAAGAAUCAUACAGUUGUGGAGAUGUCAAGAAGCAUGAUGACUGCUAAAAAAAUUCCCAACCAACUAUGGCCGAAACUAUCAAUACAACAAUCUACAUCCUCAACAGAUCACCAACAAAAGUAGUGAAGAAUAAAACAUCUUAUCAAACAUGGCACCACAAAAGGCCGCAAGUGGAUUACCUCAAAGUAUUUGGUUGUAUACAUAUGCACACAUCUCUAUCCCAAAUCACGACAAGUUCGACCAGAAGGGAGAGAAGCUCAUCUUCAUCGGAUAUAAUGACGAAUCCAAAGGCUAUAGACUCUGCAAUCCAUUAAAGAAUGAGGUGGUGAUUUCACGAGGCGUUAUCUUCGAUUGGAGCUAGGAAACUCAGGAUACUCAACCAACCUCCAUCAACAAAUGAGAUCCUAGAGAAUCCAACAACUACACCAACAACACCAAAUGAGGCGGAUCAAAAUCCAAGCCAAGGAAGAAGUCCAACGAGAGACAACUUCAGAGUCAUCGUGAUAGAUUCAGACUCACCUCCAUUAAAGGUUAGAUCCUUAACAGAAAUUUAUGAAUCAAGCCACGUAGCAUAAUUUUCUUGUGAACCAUAUACAUUUGAAGAAGCAGCAAAAGGCAAAGUAUGGACAUAAGUAAUGGACACGGAGAUCUCAAUGAUCGAGAAGAACAAGACUUGGGAGCUCGUGGACAAACCAAAAGAUUAGCCGAUCAUAGGAAAAUGGAUCUACAAAACCAAAUUUAACGAAAAAGGUUCCAUCCAGAAGCACAAAGCGAGAUUGGUGACAAAAGGCUAUUCACAAGAGUCUUGCAUCGACUUUCACGAAACCUACGCACUAGUAGUGCGGAUGGAGACAAUCAUAACAGUCAUGGCACUAGCAGCUCAAAUGGAGUUACCAAUAUUCCAGCUAGACAUCAUGACAGAAUUCCUCAACGGAACACUAAAAGAAGAAGUCUAUGUGGAACAACCACUAAAAGAACAAGUCCAUCGACUCAAAAAGGCACACUACGGACUCAAACAAGCACCAUGAGCGUGGAACACCAGAAUUGAUCAAUACUUUCAAGACAACAGAUUCCAAAGAAGUCCAAGUGAAGCAUCUCUCUACAUCAAAAAGGGAGAAAACAAAAACUUUUUUAUUUUUUGCUUAUAUGUUAAUGACUUAAUCAAUAUAGGCACCAAGUCCAUAAAUGAUUGAAGAACUCAAAAGGACAAUGAUGUCAGAGUUCGAGAAGACAGACUUUGGACUCAUGAAGUAUUUUCUGAAAAUUCAAGUGAAGUAGAAACCUGGAGAAAUAUUCAUCUCUCAAGAGUAGUAUACUGAAGACAUGUUAAAGAGAUUUCACAUGGCAUCGUGCAAGCCCAUAGCGUUGAAGAGAUUUCAAAUGGCAUCGUGCAAGCCCAUAGCAACACCAAUGGCGUUGAACGAGAAAUUGCAAUAAAAUGAUGGAGCAGAAAAAGUUGACGGAAAAGUCUACAGAAGCCUAUUCUGAUCGCUCAUAUAUCUGACACAAACAAGAACAUAUAUAUGUCACUCAGUAAGUCUCAUUUCAAGAUUUAUGAAUGAGCCUAGCAAACUUCAUUUUGCAGUAGUAAAGAGAAUCCUAAGAUACCUCCAAGGCAUUAAACAAUUGAGCCUAAGGGACAAGAAAGAAGAAGGGAGCAAGCCUAUCGGAUACACCGACAGUGACUGGGCAGGAUCUUUAGAGGACCGAAAGAGUACAUCUGGUUAUAUAUUUUGCCUAGGUACAAAACCUAUUUUCUGGAGCUCAAAGAAGCAGAAGACUGUGGCAUUAUCAUCAGCGGAAGCAGAAUAUAUUCCAGCUACAGAUGCAGCAUGCGAGACAGUAUUGCUAAAAAGAUUAAUUGAAGACUUGCAAUAAGGUGAUAAUGAACCAACUAUUAUUUAUUGCGACAACAUGUCAACCAUAGCCAUUAGGAAGAAUCCAGUAUUUCACGCAAGGUCGAAACAUAUCGAGUUACGACACCAUUUCAUACGACAUCUAGUCAACAACGGAGAAAUCCAAAUAAAAUUAAUCAACACCGAUGAUCAACCAGCAGAUAUCGUGACAAAGGCAGUUACAAAUGAUAAACUCGAAAAGUUCAAACACCUAUUUCAAAUUGCAAAUUAAGAGGAGGUGUUGAAUAAAGGUAAUUUGCCAUAUGGAAUUACCUUUUACAAUCUAGAGAUUUCUUACUUAAGAAAUCUCUUUAAAAAUAUCUACCAAUCACUUAACUACCUAAUUAAAUGUUGUGACUAAUUAAAAAACUUAAAAUUCCUACAACCGCAUACUAAGACGGUUAUGUGGUCUUCCAAUAAAAUUAUUUAUUAUUAUAAUCAUUAUGUAGUAGUAUAAAUAUGUGUUGAAUGGAGAUAUAGAGAAUGGUAAAAAAACAAAACAAAUAAGAAAGAAGAAGUAGAGAGUGUUCGGUGAGCAGUUUGAAUGGUUCAAGUGACCAAAUUGCAAUAUUCAUAUAAUUAAGUGAUUAAUCGAGUGAGUUAUCAAAAUACUAUCUUUUCGAUCCUAAAUUCCGCUACAUUUUUGUUAAAGCCCCAACAUCCUUCUCAUCAGCGACCUGAAUAAGACCAUAAGCCACUUCAAAAAUUUGUAUCGAAUGUUGACAUAGCCUCUAAAGGCGUGCCAUAGCUUGAAGAACCGUGUUUAACGGUUUGGGCAGACUCCAGAAUAUUCUGCCGAUGAGGCUCAGAUCCGUCGCAGCACGCAGAUCAUCCUCGUUAUCAGAGAAAUCAACUGUGAAACCACCGCGCACUACAUUAUCUGGAAUUGGAUCCAUGAGAACAACAGGAGAAGAGUAAUGAUAAGAGAUUAGAUUGAUAGAAUGAAACUCAAGAUUGGAGCGAAGAAAACCUAAUAAUAGGGUAUCUGAUAUUAUACCCAAUCAUAUGUUAGUCCCAGCCACUUGGAAGAAAUAGUAAAGAAAUGGGGAGGAGAUGGGAAUUGUAAUUGCACCAGGAAGUUAGGUGCUCUUCUCAACUACAUCUAAUCAAUUCUAUCUCCCAUCUUAAUUGAUAUAUAAUAAGCCAAAUAUUGGCUUCAUUUCUCAACCCUCACCAAUCACGCUUCCUUUUCUAUCUUUGUACGUUUAUCACUCUCCCUUUGUGUAGUGUACUUGUCUUCUUUAUUUGUAACAAUUGAAAGACAUUUCUUUUAAUUGUUGGGUAGAUAGGUGAGCGGUAGAAAGUCCCGAAAAAUGUUUUACCGUGGUAGGAAUAUUUUCUUGUGAGCAAUAAAAUAGUGAGUAGUUGUUUCAGGGUUGGAAAACACAUGAGAGACACAAUUUUUGGAUCGACUCGGGUCACCUUGUAGCUACGUUGUCAUAUUGAAGAAGUGCUCGAAGCUGUCACUGCUGCCGUAGAUGUACUCUCCGCAUUGGAGGGGAACUACGUUAAUCCCUGUGUUAUUUACUUACUGUUUUGUGAUUGGCGAUUUCGAGAAUAUUCGUUGUAUAUUACAUUAUUAAUAUUUCCACAGUAAAUUGGUCUAAGGAGGUUGGCUUCAUUAUUAUGGUAUUGCAGUGGUAAUCACCCAUCCAUAGUGAUUUUAAGUGUUGCGGACUACUGCCACUUCCAACCUGUUCGGGAAAUAUUUACGGUGUGUGGUUCAUUAGUGCAAUAUAUUUAUUCUAUUCUCGUCUGUUGCGCCCCAACAGUGGUAUCAGAGCACGGUUCAAUAUAGAGGCAACGCCAAGCAAGAUGGUUAGUUUGAACGGUACAAACUUUCAUAUUUGGAGAAGCAAGAUGAAGGAUCUCCUGUUGAUGAAAGAUUUGGAUCAACCGUUGUCAUCGUCCACUAAGCCAGCCGCUAAGAGUGACGGGGAAUGGAAGCGAGAGCACGAGAAGGCGUGUAGUUAUAAUGGAAGCGAGAGCACGAGAAGGCGUGUAGUUAUAUUCGACACCAUGUCGAUGAUAAUGUACACAACCACAUCGCUGGAGAGACGGAUGCAUUGAAGCUUUGGAAAAAGCUGGAGGGGCUUUAUACUUCAAAGACUGGCAACAACAAACUUUUUUAUCUUAUGAAGAUGGUGCAUAUGAGAUACAAAGAGGGCACUUCCAUUCCAAAUCACUUGAACGACGUUCAAGGGAUCAUUGACCAGUUGUCGGGAAUGAACUUAAAACUCGAAGAUGAGGUGACGGCUCUUUUGAUUCUGGCAUCCCUACCAGAAUCAUGGGAAACCUUGAAGAUUGCAAUCACGAGCUCUGCUGCAGAUGGUGUUGUCACCAUGGAGGAUGUCAAGAGCGGAAUUCUCAACGAGGAGAUGAGAAUGAGAAGAAGAUCUCAAAUAGCCUCUUCCUUAUCAUCACAGUCAGACGUUCUAGCUGUGGAUGGGAGAGGAAGGAGUGAGUCGAGAGGCUCAAUGAAGCAAGCAAAGACCCAAGUGAAGUCUAACAAGUAUGCAAACAUCACUUGUCACAAUUGCAAGCAGAAGGGACACAUCUGGAGGUUUUGCCCAUAACUUAGGCAAAACAGAGGUGGUGAUAGUGACCGUGCAAACGUUGUUGAGGAGCCCAUACUUGUCUACAAUGAGAUUUUGUCAACCUGACAACCUAGGAGAUCACUUGGGUGGUUGACAGUGUUGCCACCAUCCAUGUAACGUCCAGGCGUGAAUUUUUAUCAUCUUGCUCACCGGGCAACUACGGUGUGGUAAGGAUGGGAAAUGGAAACCUCUCCAAGGUCGUUGGCAAAGGAGAUGUCUGCCUGGAGACAAUGGAAGGUGCGAAGUUGGUGCUGCGAGAUGUUAGACAUGUCCCGGACAUGCGUCUAAAUCUGAUUUCUGUGGACAAGCUGGACGGGGAAGGUUAUUGUCAUACCUUCAAAAACGGUCAAUGGAAACUCACCAAAGGCGCAUUGGUGGUGGCGAGAGGCAAGAAGCAGUCUAAACUGUACGUGACAGAAGCCAAGAUGUUCCUAAAACCUGCAAACUCUACAGAGAUUGUUGACACCGUCGUGUUGUGGCACAAACGCCUUGGCCAUAUGAGCGAGAAGUCCAUGGUAAAGCUGGCAAAGAAGAAGGCUAUACCUGGACUGGAUCAUGUCCACCUGGAGAGAUGCGUCGACUGUUUGGCAGGAAAGCAAAAUCGAGUUGCUUUCAGAAGUUCUCCACCUUCUAGAGCAAAGAACGUACUAGAUCUAGUUCACUCAGAUCUUUGUGAAGCGGAUUCCAAAUCCCUUGGUGGCGCACGUUACUUUGCUACGUUUAUUGAUGAUCACUCGCGGAAGACAUGGGUAUAUGUUCUGAAGACGAAAGAUCAGGUGCUAAACGUUUUCAAACGUUUUGUUGCAUUGGUGGAGAGGGAGACUGGCCAGAAGCUGAAGUGUCUACGUACAGACAAUGGUGGAGAGUACAUUGGGCCAUUCGAUGCCUACUGUAAAGAGAAGGGAAUCCGACAUCAGUUUACACCUCCUAAGACUCCGCAACUGAAUGGCGUGGCGGAGCGGAUGAACAAAACCUUGAUGGAGAGAGUCAGGUGCUUACUCUCCCACUCGAAGUUACCGCACUCUUUUUGGGGAGAAGCACUACUUGCCGUAGUGCAUGUUUGGAACCUUUCACCUAGCGUUCCAUUAGAUUUUGAAGCCCCCGAGAAGAUUUGGUCGGGAAGAGAUGUCUCGUACAAGCAUCUCCCCCUUGACGUUCAACCUGAUGAUCCUGAUGAUGAUGAUGAUGAUUGUUCUCAUGAUCAACCGAUAACCGCCGAAGGCUCUCUACCCCGAACGAGAUCUGGCAGAGUCGUGCAACCCUCUACCAAAUAUUCAUGAAAUGAAUAUGUUUUAUUCACUGACGAGGGAGAACCAGAUAGCUUCCAGAAAGCUAUGAAGGAUGAACACAAGCAUAAAUGGAUGAAGGCAAUGGAGGAUGAGAUGAAGUCCCUAUACGACAACAACACAUUUGAGUUGGUAAAGUUACCAAAGGGGAAGAGAGUUUUGAAGAACAAGUGGGUUUUCAAAAUCAAGAAUGAAGAACACAACAGUAAACCACGGUUCAAAGCUCGGCUCAUUGUGAAAGGCUUCAGUCAAAGGAAGGGCAUCGACUUUGGUGAGAUAUUCUCACCGGUGGUUAAAUUAACAUCCAUUCGUACAGUGCUGGGGCUUGCGUCAAGUUUCAACCUGGAGGUUGAGCAGAUGGACGUGAAGACUGCCUUCCUCCAUGGCGAUUUGGAGGAAGAGAUUUAUAUGGAGCAACCGGAAGGCUUCAAGAAGAAGGGAAACGAGGAUUUCGUGUGCAAACUUAACAAAACUUUGUACGGCUUGAAGCAAGCACCACGACAAUGGUAUAAGAAGUUCAAGUCUGUUAUGGAGGAACAAGGGUACAAGAAGACCACUUCAGACCAUUGCGUAUUCGUGAAGAAGUUCGGAGAUGAUGAUUUAAUCAUCUUGUUGCUCUAUGUUGACGACAUGCUGAUUGUUGGCCGGAAUGUUUCCAGAAUCAACAACUUGAAGAAGGAGUUGAGCAAGUCUUUUGCUAUGAAAGACUUGGGGCCCGCGAAGCAGAUUCUUGGCUUGAAGAUUGCACGAGAUAGAGUUGCCAAGAAGAUCUGGUUGUCGCAGGAGAAGUACAUUGAGAAAGUACUCCAACGAUUCAACAUGAAUAAUCAAUUUUGUCUCCCAUCUCAGUUGAUAUAUAAUGAGCCAAAUAUUGGCUUCAUUUCUCAUCCCUCACCAAUCACUCUUCCUUUCCUAUCUAUGUACGUUUAUCACUCUCCCUUUGUGUAGUGUACUUAUCUUCUUUAUUUGUAACAAUUGAAAGUCAUUUCUUUCAAUUGUUGGGUAGAUAGGUGAGCGGUAGAAAGUCCCGAAAAAUGUUUUACCGUGGUAGGAAUAUUUUCUUGUGAGCGAUAAAAUAGUGAGUAGUUGUUUUGGAGUUGGGAAACAAUUGAGAGACACUAUUUUUUGAUCGACUCCUCAUUAUAUAUUUCAUUAUUAAUAUUACCACGGUAAAUUGUUCUAAGGAGGUUGGCUUAAUUAUCGUCAUUAUAGUAUUGCGGUGGUAAUCACCCAUCCAUAGUGAUUUUAAGUGUGACGGACUACCGCCACUUCCAACCUGUUUAGAAAAUAUUUACGGUGUGUGAUUUAUUAGUGUAAUAUAUUUACUCUAUUCUCGUCCGUGCGCCCCAACAACAUAGAUGAGAACAGGGGGAACAGUUGAGAUUGAAAGGAGAUAAGAUAGGAGGAUCACUCCGUAGACGGUUACUCCCCAACCGGAGGAGGAGGAAGCUUGGGAGUGGAAAAACGGUGGUACGACAAGGAGAACGGCGGGAAGGAGGCGGCAGAGAAAAUGAGGGAGGAGGGAGACAGGCGAGAGAGAAGGGAAUUCAUGACGUAUUUGUGUUGUCUAGUAGUUUGGUUUCGAGAUAUGCCACCCAUUACAGAACCAGGGGAGGACAAUAUAAAAUUUCUAUUAACACUAAAGAACAUAAACACUAUACGUACGAAUGUUUUAGAGAAGCGUACAGUCGUAUCCGUAGCAAGGCGAGAAGAAGGGAGGUGGCACCAUGUGUCUGCAUGGGCGUCCCCACGUGGCGAGCUGUAAGGGGACACACGUCAUCAACAUACUUUCACCUCUUCCACCCAUGCACCUCUCUGUCCUUCCUUCCUCUGUUUCUUGGUCAUCUCUUUUCAUUCAUAUUAAGAUCCCAUAAAAUAUUGAUCGAAACAACCCUUCUCCUUCUCUCCAUCUGUAAAAUCUGUUGCCAAAAUACUGUCCAAAUAUAUAUACACACACACAUUGAAGAAGAAGAAUGAAGCACCUCUCUACCAUCGCCAAUGACAUUGUGAACAGAUGCGCCCUGUACGUACUCCCAUUAACGUUUUCUCCUUUCCUAAUUCUCAUAAUCGUUACUGAAAUCUAGAAUAUAUUAAUAAUUCGAAUGGGUUGUUUAAUUUGAUUGAAUCUAUUGAAAUAGAAGGGUGGAGAAAAGUGAGGAGGAACUGGUGGAAGAGUUUGAAAGAGAAGUAUGGAAGGAGGAAACAGGGGAUUACUCGAGGAAGUUUAUUGAAUUCUGUUGCUCGAAGGCAUUGAGGAAAGAUUGCCAAUUCAUAGAGGAGAAAAUCGUUGAUGGAUCCUUUUCACGCCUCACUUUCGACAUGAUGCUCGCCUGGGAAACUCCCACUUCCAUCCACGAGCAAUCUAUCUCCGUACGUACGCCUAACUCAAUCCAUUUUCAUUUUGUUUGCUUCAUUUUUUGGUUUUUUUUUGCUCGUUAAACUAAAAAUUAAAAUAAAAACACAGGAAAAUGUAGGAAAGGGUUUAGAAGACAGGAGGAAGAUACCAUCAAAAGUAACUGGAGAAACUGAUGAAAUCCCACUCUUCUACACUGACCUUAUGCCCCUCCUUGUAAGCUAACAUUACAUACCCAUUGGUCAGUUUUGAAAUCAAUUGAUUCAAUGGUCUCUGAUGGGAUCGAUGAUUGAAAAUAGGUUGACGAGGAGGCCAGUGUGGGGGAAGACGCAGUUGUUUGGUUGGGAACAUUGGUCCCAUUGGUCGUGGAUUUCGUCAAUGCCAGGUUUACAUUCGAGACGCUCACCGCAGCUACUGCCCACCGCCUCUUCUACCCUGCCUACGAUAAGUUCUUGAAAGAAAUUAACCAGUUAAGUUCUUGUCUCCCACUACUAGAAUUUGCAGGGGUCCACUAAAUUUUGAACUUUGUGCACAUGAAAUUGUUAUAGACUUAUAUUGAGGGCUGACAGGUUUCAAAUUAGGACCUCUCACUGACUUAAAUUGGACAGCAAGUAGGCUUUGAUAUCAACAUCCCAAUAACUCGAGUUAUUUUUCAUAAUUGAUUUUUAUAGCACUCCUAGUUUUACUUGUACCAUCUUGACUACUUCUCCUAUGUAACUUUUUGAGUCCACUUUGGUUUUGGCAGAAGCAUAAAGAAUCUGCAGCAACAAACUAAACCCAAAGGAAUACAACUUGCUGAUGAAGAGUUCAUACUACACGUUGAUGGCACCGCCAGUUCCCAGAGAGUUGUGCGCCACAUUGGUGGCACCAGCUGGCCAGGUAAUUAACACCUCAUUUAAAUUUGGCUUUUACUUGUGAAUCCCAAUAUAGCAAUCGCACUCUGGUUUUAAUUUAAUUGUGACUGUUUUUUUCCUAUUAGGUAGGCUUACACUUACCAAUUACGCUCUCUACUUCGAGGCAUCUGGGGUGAUCACAUAUGAAGAUGCUCUUAAAAUCGACCUCUCUAACGAUACCAAACACAGCAUCAAAGCCACUGCCACCGGCCCGUGGGGUGCUCCGUUUUUUGACAGGGCCAUCGUCUAUGAAUCCCCUGAAUCGUAAGACCACCAAGUUAAUGCUUUAUAAUAUUGCUUCUCAAGACCAUUUCUAGUUUGUUUACCAUUUGGUGUAACAAUGUGAUGCAGCUCGGAAGGAAUUGUUCUGGAGUUUCCAGAGAUGACAAGCUCCACCAGACGCGAUCAUUGGCUUGCGCUCAUCAAGGAGAUCAUCUUAAUGCACCAGUUCCUGUCGAGGUACAAUGUGGAAUGUCCGAUGCAGGCAUGGGAGAUACAUUCGAGGACAAUACUCGGGAUAGUGAGGCUCCACGCAGCUAGAGAGCUGCUGCGAAUAACGCCACCGGACCCUACCAAGUUCCUCAUCUUCGCCUUGUAUGACGAGCUGCCUAAGGGAGACUACGUGCUGGAUCAGCUUGCAGCGAGCAUAGAGAAGGCCGACAGCGGACACCCGUGCAGUGUCAGUUCACUCCUGAGGAAUAUAAAUGUAUCGCAGUUGCUUACGUCUAGUGGAGAAAUUACAAAGGGUAAAGAGGAAGUUGUGAAUAAUUUUGCUGACGGAGGAGACGAUGAGAUACGUUCCUCUUUAGAGGAUGCAGUUGAUAGAGUGAAGGAGGAAGCUAAGGAGGUUGACAUGGCCAAGGCCACUGCAGAGGGGUUAAAAGAGGAAGGGAUUGGUGAAAGCGCUCAAGUCCUUAUGGUAAGAGUCUAAACGACUUGUGCUAUCGUUUUCAUAUGAACUUAACUUGAUUGAUUUUAUUUGAAUGAUGCAGGAACUGCUGAAGCCGAUCAGAGAUCUGCUACCAUGGUUUCUUGGGAUCAUUUCGUGGGAGAGGCCAUUGGCAUCGCUUCUUGUAUUCGUCACAACUAUCAUAAUCAUCUACAAGUGAGUGAGUGUUCUUUUUCUGAAGUAUAUAUAAGCUUCACUGCUGAUUUGUUCUGCUGUCGGGCGUGAUUAGUGGCUUUAAUCAAACUGCAGGGAGUGGGUGGGGAAAGCAUUAGCUGUUUUCUUGGUCCGGGGUGCAUUGAGGAUACUGCAAGCUAGACGAGGGCGAUCGCACAAGCAAAGCAACGAGAUAGUAGUGUACACCGGGGGAAGAGAACAAAAGAGCACAACUGAGAGCAUUGUGGCGGCUCAGUUCGGAUUGAGAACUGUACACGAGGUGAUGCAAGCAGCUAACAUAGCUAUACUAAAGAUUUGGUCUCUGAUGUCUGCCAAAGCUCCAAAGGUGGUUGGUUAAUCAUCAUGCUACUUCUCAUUUAGUUGGAAACACUUUUGUCUUACUUUUGUAUACUGCCUAUGCCAAGAUGUUUUACUAUGUUUCGAUCGUGCAGCAAUCAGAUAUGGCGAUGGUGGCCAUGGGUUCCUUGGCAAUCAUAUUGGCUGUAAUUCCUUUGAAGUACAUCCUAAUGGGUGGAGUUGUAUACUACGGGAUUAUGACAUCGAAACUAGGGAAGCGAAUGGAGAAUGAUCAGGGGAAUAGAAGGCUAAAGGAAUGGUGGGAUUCAAUUCCAGUCGUCCAUGUCCGUAUCGUUGAUGAACCACCUCCGCCUUCUCCUCCGCUCCCAGAGAAGAAGGAUACUUAAGUUCCAUUGCCAGUCAUGGUUUGUUUUUCUUUGCUCUGUUUGCAGUAUUGUAAUCUUUACGUUAUGACAUACUAGAGGUUAUAUGACACAUCAGAUGCACAACAAAUUAGAGGAAGUAGGUGUGGCCUGUGGGGAAGGACGAAGGUCAAGUAAAUUUGUAUGUUCUACAAGGGCAAACUCUUUUGUUCAGAAGGAUAUGAUUUAUAAUGUGUAAGUUGUUCAGUUCUAUUUCCUAGAGAUGUUUAUCAUGAUCUACAUCCCGAAUUCCGACAACGUACUUUAAUGAACCUGGUAGAAACAGAGCAUCAGGCAGGCAAAGUUACAGGAACAGUCAUGGAAGUUAAACUCCGAGAAUAGCUUCUAAUCAUAGUAUCUACAUACAACUAGCUUCUAAUCAUAGCAUCGUCCUAGCUAAGUUGUGACAAGAAAGCAUGGAGAUGGCAGUUGCAGGCAGCUAACGGCUAUUCACAACAUCCAAAAGAGAGCGAUUUAUGUUGGUUUCAAGAGUUGGUAUUCAGCUUCUCCUCGCCUUCUCUAGAUCAGGAAGGUCUGCGAAAAUUUUGUGCAGAUUCAUCAAUCAUGAGUAAGUAGCCAGGAAUUGCCACUAUAGCUUAACACAGAGAGAGAGAUAGAUGAACAGUGCUCUCCGACCCGUGAUCGUGAAGCCAAAAAGUAAAACGCACUAUCUACAGUAGAUACAUGGAAAGUUAACUUUCCAACUUACAAAGCAGUCCUUCAUCGUCACUAGUUUCAGCGUCCUCAUCAUACUGCCACAAGAAAGAAACCAACUAUCAUUCGGCUAAUCAUACAAAAGUUGGAAAAAGUAGUUUACUUGGCAAAAGAAUUCUAGAUUACGCUACCUCAGCUUCAUCGUCGUCCGAAAGUGUAUCAGCUGCAAAAUCAUCAUCAUCCAGAUACUGUUAGAAACCAGAAUAUGCAGAACCCAUUUCCUACUUACAUGGAUGGACCAAACACAACAUCCAAAAAUGUAACGAUCACCCUAUCAGGAGUCUCGGUGCUCUAACUAAGACUGACUAGUUCAGAUUGUCCCAAACUGCCCGGAGGCGGAGAGAGACUCCUCAGAAUAUAUUCAGGUGGGCAAACAAUUCUUGCUUGCGCAUUUCGCAUUUCGGCAGUGAAUGAACAGAUAUUGGCGAGGAUCUAACUAGCUUCUCCCAAAGAGCAUUAAGAAACAAUAAUAUUAACUGAACUUAUAGGAGACAAAGGAUGCUAUUGAAAGACUUACAAGCAGGUCCUUCAUCAUCUUCAUCGAUCCACCUAUGCCAAUCAACUUUAAUGUAAGGUGCAGGCUUCUCUUCUGAUUUCAACAGUCUCCUCCACCACCCUUUCUCCUCUUUCUGGAUGGAGCAGAUUAUGUUCCUCAACCCAACAUUAGUCUUGCACUUCUGCACCAGCAUUUGCAUGGAUUACUUACUACGAUCACUUCCACCGGGAUUCACACAUCAUUAGAGAAAUCAACUAGAUUUUCUUGAAAUUCGGCAUAUGAUGAUUUUUCAAAGCAAAAUUCCAAAGACGCAAGACAAACAAAAGAAUCCACAAACAGUAUAAUGUGCCGGAAAGUGAAAUCUCGAUCAUGGACAGAAUAAGAACGAUUUUAGUACAAAGGCCAGAAGUGCAAGAACCUCGGGAAGAAUGGAAGCGUAGAGCUGGAGAUUGAGCUCGAAGGACUCGCCCUGAAUCCCGCUAGCGGAGAAACUGAACAAACCCUGGGGCUGACAUUUCACAGAUAUGUCCUUAGCGUCCGGCAACGCUACCGUCAGGUAUACCUUGUCGGAUCGCUGGGCCCAGAGAACUUCCGGAUUCCGACUGAGGUUAGCGAUCACAUAUCAGGGACGGUAACAGAAAUAAUCGAACAGAUGAAACACACGAAGCUUCAAACUCCGUGCAAAAGAAGUGGUUGGCGUACUUACCUCAAUCCAUUUUACCAAAAAUAUAAAAACUUACCUGAUUCCUCGACCGUAAUCGACUGCCAUGGCGGUGGCGAAAGGCGAAGUGGAUGGGAUCACGGAAGGAGGAGAGAAGCGGUUUUGAAGAAUGACCGAGGAGGAGGAGGAGGAGAGCAGCUGUACGACGAAGAGGUGGUGGGUUAGUACUAACUAGUAACUAGUAGGACUGAAAAUGAAGUGAGUGAUGUGUACGUUUUUUUGUCUUUGUUUGGGGUCCGAAAUAUGCCCAAAUUGGAGCCCUAUGUGAAAUAUCCAAUUGCAAUUUGCCAACCUCAAUUUCAAUUUUUGGUUAAAAAAACAUCUUUACAUAAUUAAAAAGAUUGUUUGGAUUGAUAAUUUAUGUAAUUCAGAUUUUAAAUUUUUUUUGCCACAAAUCAUUUACAGAUACUAAAAUUUUUUUUGAAAAUUUAAAAUUACUUUAUCAGUUUAGAAAGAAUUUUAUGACUGAUUUCAAAUUAUCUAAAGAAAGUAAAAAAUUCAAACAAAAGAGAUCAGAUUUUGAAAAUUUUAAUUAAAACUAUUCUUUGUUUUCUUUUGGUAAUUCAUGUGAUCAUAAAAAAUUUGGAGACAUUUUUCAUAUUUUUUGUUUUUUAUUUUUCUUUUAUUUUCUUUUUUUAUGAUAAUUAUAUUUAAAUUCNNNNNNNNNNNNNNNNNNNNNNNNNNNNNNNNNNNNNNNNNNNNNNNNNNNNNNNNNNNNNNNNNNNNNNNNNNNNNNNNNNNNNNNNNNNNNNNNNNNNNNNNNNNNNNNNNNNNNNNNNNNNNNNNNNNNNNNNGAGAAAAGUGUACAUCAUUUUUGCUUUUCAUAGCUAUCAUUUAUUGUUUUAAUCUAAUGACAUUAGACUCUCUUAGUGUCCUAAUGAUUAGAAUAUUUUUAAUAAUCUUUAAAUAAUAAAUUUUUAAUUCAAUGGUUAUGAUUUAAUAAUAGCAAUUGAGAUGAAUAGUACCUAUUUUUUAUAAAAUUCAAUAUUUUGUAAAUAGUUUAAGCGAAAAAAUAAAUAAAUAAAAGGGAUCCCAAAAAUUUUGCUUCAUUAUCUUUUGAACCUUCCAUCUUUCUUGUAUUCCUCCCGAAAUUAAAAACCCUCAUCUUCUCCUUUUUUGAAAAUCGCAGGCGAAUGGAAAUGCCAAGAUCAUCACCUUUGGUGAUCACCCUAUUUUCGAAUUAGGAACCAAAAACCUAAUUGAUUGCCUUUGGUUCUGUUUUGUAGAGUCGUCAUCAUCGCCCGAGUCUUCUAGUCCCACUGGCCGCUAGUCGAGUAAGUCGUUGUCGAUCGCCUUUGAUGAUCUCAUCCCAAUUUUCUAAUUAGAAACCAAUUAAAAACCUAAGUGAUCGCCUUUGGUUCUGUUUUGCAGAAUCGCCGUCGUCGCCCGAGUCUUCGAGUUCCACCGGCUUCUAAUUGAGUAAGUCGUCGUCCAUCACCUUUGGUUCUAUUUUACAGUCCCCACCGUCAGGUAUAAGCUAGACGGAAAAAAAUGUUGUAGGCAAUAUUUAAUCGGAAAUUACGUAGAUAAUCAACUUGAAACCUUAAUUAUGUAAAAUUGCAAUAAGGGGCAGUUAUAACGCGGUGUCCUAGGGCGUGCCUCGGGUUGGAGGAUGCCUCCAACGGCAAGGUGUAUCCCAAUAAGAAAAAAAUUAACUAAAAUUCUUAUCAAGAAAACAUACGGGAGAAAAUCAUGGUUAAAGAAAAAAGAGUGUAAUGCUUAUUAAUUCCCUUUUAUGAUAAACUCUAUUAGGGUCCUAAGUCAUUCAUCUUUAAUAAUGUAAAAAUAUCUUUGGAGUUGUCAUAUAAAGAACAAUAACAAUGGUGAACGAAUCUUAAAGAAUGUUACUUGAGUGUGGUCUUGAAACAAUCAUUUCACUAUUUUUCGGAGCUCUAAACUCCUACAAGUAAAAUAUGUUCUAUGUAUGAUUUUGUGGACGCAGUUCAUGUCGUUACACGGAUACCUUAUUGUCUAUAUGUUGUCACAUGACAACACCCAUUUCAUCCAUCAAAUCUAGGUACUAAGAUUUAGUGAUGACCAAAAAGGAAAAAUCGAAAUUAUUUAAAUAAAAAACAGCCAAACCUCUCUAGUGUUAUCAUUUUUUAGAUUCUCCUCAAAUUAAUUUCCUAUUUUUCUUUCAAAAUCUAUGCCCACAUUUUCCCUCCCAAUUGGGUGAUUUACGGAAUGCUCGUCAAUUGUUCGAUGAAAUCCCUUUAAAAAAAUCUUAAUACAAAUGGUUGAAUUGGGUGUGUCUUGGUCCACACACAUUUUACUUAUAUCUUGAAAAAACUUCUAACACAAAGAGCUUUGUGCCCGCCCAUUGGCCAGGUGUGAUUCUCCCUCAUUAGAGUUAGGAUCUUAUUCUCUGCCUUGAGGUGGUCAAUUGAGUAAUUUUUUAUUGCUUGCGUUGGGUGUUUCCCUGAAAUGUUGAUAAAUUGGUAUCAAUGCAUAUGCUAAUUAAUUAACAUGAUAUUUAACAUAAUGGUUGCUUGAUUAUUGUAAUCAUAUGCUUACUUGGUUAAGGUUGACUGUUGAUAAUCGAGAUUACCUCCGAUACUUAUUUUAAGUAUUCCUUGUACUUAAUGGUUAUAGUUAGUGGCUUAGAUAAAUCCUUAACUAGAAGAGAUUAGUUUUACUUUGGUGUAUAUAAUCUCAUCAUCAAUAAUAAUCAGAAUCACGGAACUUUCCCAAAUAUCAUGGUAUCAGCCACCUUCACCGACCUGAAUCGUCUCCACUGCUGAUGGCGUCGCUUCUCCUGAGCCCAAUCCAGCACUCACAGCGUGAAAACAGAAAGACAAGUUUGUUCUUCUAUGGCUGCGAUCGACUCUCUCCAAGCGGUCUCUCUCCUUGGUGGUACGGCCGACUUCCACUCAACAAGCAUAGCAUGCAAUUGAUCUUAGCUUCCAAUUCUCAGACCCGGGCUCACUGAAUAUAAUUCAAGCUCCAACAUCAGUCAUUAUCAAAGGGGUCUCUUUCCAUGUUUGACUAUCUUGAGAAGAAACGGGCGAUCGCAGAUUCGCUCGCAGCUAAUCAGCAUCCAAUUUCCAAUGAGGAUUUAAUUGGGCACGUCCUCGGUGGGUUGGAUGACUCCUACAAUGCCUUUAUCACUGAUUUUAUGAUGAAAGGAGGAAAUGUUAGCAUCGAUGCUCUCACCGGGUUGCUACUUCACGAAGAAGCUCGCCACGAAUAGGCGGUUCACCGCACCUCCGCGUUGCUCCCUACUCAGGCGGUGGUGCCCCAGCCAACUGCUUAUCAGGUACAUCGCUCAGCUAAUCAGGCUCCUCCUUCUAGAUCAUCUCCUCAUUCACAUUUUUCAGCUGGUUCCUCGACUUCUUCUCGCUGUGGCUCGCAAAAGCCACGAGUCUUCUGUCAGCUUUGUCGUAUGGGUGGCCACGAGGCUUUGGAUUGCAGGAACCUCACAAAUCUGAAUGCUUACCCCUCUCGCGGGCAGCCUCCUCCUGCUCACUUCACCAAUCAAGCUCCUCCUCGCCAGGCAUACUAUGCACAACUCAAUGAUUAUGCCACUAUUGUGGAUCCUUCUUGGUACUUCGACACUAGUGGUACUCCCGAUUUCAGCAAACUCACCGUUGUUGAUGCUUAUCCUGACAGCGACAAACUCCAAGUUGGUAAAGUUAAACAUCUAUCUAUUUCUCAUAAUGGCUCUGUGACAUCCCGAAUUUCGAUUCAGAUUAAUUUUCAGUUUGAUUAAAAUCUUACUCGAUAAGUAGAAGUGGGGAGUUUAAAAUUUAAUUAAUUUAAUUAAUUCGAGAAGGUGACUAAGCAGUUGACCAGAUAAUUAUCGGGUUGACUAAGUCAAUCAGAAAAGGAGUUAAGUCUCUUUAAUUGUAUGUUAUGAGCUUGAAGGAGUCUGAACCGUUGGAUGGAUCUGAUGGUGAGGAUUGGCCUUGAAUGGUUCGAGAGCGAGAGGGAGGCUACAACUUUCUUUUGGACUCAGACUUAGAUGCGGGCCAAGAGGCCCAACUAGAGUUGUGGUAACGUGUUGGUUUUGGGCAGUUGGAAGAGCCCAACGGGGAGAUGGGCCAAAGUUUCAAUCAAGGGAAACGAGAGCGUUGGGUUGUGAUUCCCAACCCUACAGUUGCAGCAGCGAGAGAGAAAGCUCCCAGCUCCAGGUGAUGAGGACUUGACGAUCGUGAGUCGGGGAGCGUGAUGUAGCAGGAGGGAUCUCCCUCCUUGAUUCCAUGGCGCCGAUUUGUUGAGUUUAGGGAGAUCCAGCAGGAAGGAGCAGAAACUGGAGCAAGAGGGAGCGAGGACGGCGGCGUUUUGCCGAUCCGUGGGGAAGAGUAGCUGCUGGCGGUUCUACGGUAUGGCAGCGACAGGAAACGACCUGCAGGCAUCGUCGCGGAUGGAAGGGUCCGGCGGCGGCAGUUUCGCGGUGUUCCACGAAGUGCGGAGCUUCGUCGAGAACUGGCGGCGAGCCCCUUUUUCGAGAAGACAGGUGACCAGAGGGUCAUAGUCAAGAGUUCAAUGACCAAACUGUAGUUUCAGAAAGAUAAAUGACCUCGUGCAACUUCCUUAAGUUUGAGGAUUGGUUCUGUAAUUUGCAAAGCUGGGCAGUGAAAUGACUUUCUGUCCCUAUGAGUUUUAGGUUCUUGCAAAGAAGUAAAUGGGGCAUAACUCGGUUGAUUGGACUCCAAAUGACGCACGGUCAGAAGCUACGGACUCGUGGCAGUGAGAGAAGUCAUGUGAAGUCAGAAUCAGAGAUGUCAGCACUUCAUAAGAGGUACGAGUUAUGAUUACUUUUCUGCUUUAUGCAAAGAACUGUAAUUUAGUUGUCAGGAAUACUGAUUGGAUUUUCAGGACUAUACAGUAGCGUGCGAUCUACUGUCAAAAUGUCGUGAUUUUAAUAGGCGGGCUCUCAAGCUGUGCAGUAGCGUGUAAUCUACUACACAUGCAGUUACAAUUUCAGCUUAGUUCUCAUAGAUGAACUGUGGCGUGUGAUCCACAGUUCCUAACAGUUCUAUCAGGAUAGACCUACUAGGUUAGUACAUGACUAUUAUACAUCGGUCACCCACCCCAUGGAUUGUGCGAUCCCUAAAGUUACAAUCAUAUUCAGGCAGACGUGAUGAGCAAGCCUUGACCUGCUCUCACGGUUCUUCAGGGUGGUCUCAUGGCCUAAUCCGUCAUGAGGUUUUCCGCUCUUAGCUAGGGGUGACUGACAAUAGGAUGACAGUUGUAGGACCACAAUGUCACAUUGUUAGUUUCAGCAUUUUAAUAGACUUGCUCUAUCUCUAGUGAAGGCCAGUGCAUGUACAGUAAAGACUCAGCGCAUACGCAGUGACAUUUUUGUUCAGUUUCAGUUCAUCAUUGUAAUUGUUUAGUCACUUAGUGCGUAUCACUAGCCCCCUGGAGAUAUUGUUUUCCUUGGUGUAUCUGUGUGUUCAGUCACAUGUACUGGAGCUGAUGGUGGGGAGAGAGCUGGCCGGGACUCCUAGGGUGGGGUUUCACAGGCUCGACUUCUCUUCCCAUGCUUAGUUUGCCUAAUGUCUUAAUUGUUCCACAUCUCACUGAAAACCUAUUGAGUGUAUCCAAACUUACCAAUGAUAACAACAUCUAUGUCGAAUUCUGGCCAACUCGCUGUGUUGUAAAGACUUUGCAAGGCCUUCCUCUUCUCAAAGGAGACGUCAGUAAUGGCCUUUAUCGCCUUCCAACGAUGCUCGCUUCCUCGGCCGCACCUCCCCAUGUGGCAUACACAGGUGUUCGCAAGAGCUUACUUGGAUGGCAUCAAAGACUGGUGCAUCCCCUUGGCUGUUCUUAGUCGAUUAGUCAACACUUUUUCUUUACCGGUUUAGUCCAAUAAAAUGCCAGCUGUUUGUGAACCUUGCCAAUUGCGCAAAAGUCGUCAUCUUCAUUUGCCUUCUACUCAUGUUUCUAGUUCAAAGCCUUUUGAUUUGGUGUAUUAUGACGUUUGGAGACCUUCACCCAUUUUGUCUUUGAAUGGUCAUCAUUAUUUCUUGCUCUUCAUUGAUGAUUGUACCAAGUUUGUUUGGAUUUAUUUCUUAACUAAAAAAUCUGAAGUUCUUGAUUACUUUCGCAGAUUUCGAACAAUGGUCACCACUCAAUUUGGUGUGGUAAUCAAAAGUUUCCAAUCCAAUUGGGGUGGAGAAUUCUGCCAUGUUUCAAAGUUUUUCACCGCCCAUGGCAUCCAUCAUCACGUUUCCAUCCGUCAUACGCCCGAACAAAAUGGCACUAUUGAACGUUGCAAUCACAUCAUAAUUGAAAAGGGCCUCACUCUCCUCACUCAAUCGUCCUUACCACAAUUAUUUUGGGAGCAUGCCUUCAGAACUGCCACAUAUCUUCACAAUCGAACUCCCAUUUCGACUCUUGACUAUGACUCCCCUUUUCGACGACUCUACUCACGUCCUGAUUAUGGCUUUCUCAAAACCUUCGGUUGUCUAUGUUACCCUUAUAUUUGUCCUCAGACUUCUCAUAAAUUUGAUUUCCGCACUUUACCAUGUAUCUUUCUUGGUUACAACUCAUCUCAUAAAGGCUAUUUGUGCUAUCAUUAACCCACCUCUUGUCUCUAUAUUUCUCGGCAUGUCAUCUUUAAUGAAUCAUUGUUUCAUUCGGUUUCCUGUUUUAGCUCACCUUCACCUCCCUCCACUAUCCCUUUCGCUUCGACGCCAACCGACUUUCUCAAUCUAGCGAUGACAACUCCUCCACCAUCAGUUCCUACUCCAUCUUUGAAUCCCUCGCCACCAUAUUUUCUUCCUCCCACUUCUUCAUCUACUGUCUCCACACCUUCUAAUUCCAAUCCACCUCCCUCUCCACCACUAACCAUCACUUCAUCUCACCAACAGCCAACACAAAGUUCAAUUCCUAAACAUCACCAACCCUCCACCCGUCACUAUCGACCAGGAGCAACCAAUAGCCACUCCAUGACCACCCAAAUAGCCACCAAGUCUCUCAAACCAAAAACAUUCACCGUAACUCUCUCAACCAAUCGCUCCAAAGAACAAAAAAUUAUCGUGACGCUGUGAAACAAGAAUGUUGGCGACUAGCUAUGAAAGCUGAAUUCGAUGCUCUUAUGCGAAAAAUAUAUUGUUCUUGUACCUUGUCCUGCUAAUGUCAAUCUUGUUGGAAGCAAAUGGAUUUUCAGGAUCAAGCGCAAUUCGGAUGGAACCAUCGAUCAAUUCAAAGCUCAACUUGUAGCACAAGGAUUCAGGUAAGAGGAAGGUGUCGACUAAUAUGAGACUUUCAGCCCCGUUGUGAAGCCAACUACUAUACGGGUCGUUCUCUCCAUUGAUGUCUCUCAAGGCUGGGAGUUGUGCCAACUCGAUAUCAAUAACGCCUUACUCAACCGCGACAUAACGGAGGAAGUUUACAUGCGGCAGCCGUGCGGUUUUGAGCACCCUAAUUUCCCAAUUCAUGUAGGUCGCAUUCGCAAAGUUAUAUAUGGUCUUAAGUAAGCCCCACGAGCAUGGUUCACAAAGCUCAAAAUGUACCUCACCAACCAAGGCUUCGUUGCUUGCCGCUCGGACACCUCCCUGUUUGUUGAGCGCAGCUCACGUGACACUACAUAUGUCUUAGUAUACAUCAACGACUUGAUUAUCAAGUUCAGCAACUCAAGCUACGUUCAAUAAUUUAUUCAAAAUCUAGAUCAUCAAUUCGCCCUCAAUGACAUGGGAAAGUUUCAUCACUUCUUGGGUAUUGAUAUCACACAUACCAUUGAUGGGCUUCACUUGUCUCAACAACACUAUAUCAAGGAAAUACCACAAAGAGUUCACAUGGAUGCAACAUCACCUAUUGCAACACCAGCGGAUCCACAACAUCGUCUUUCUCGAGAAGGUGAUCCCUUCGACAACCCCACACUUUAUCGGCAAACAGUUGGAUGUCUUCAAUAUGCCACUGUAACUCGGUCGGAUAUCACAUUUGUAGUCAACUAAGUUUGUCAAUUCAUGCACUCGCCGACGCAGCUCCAUUGGCAAGUUGUCAAGCGGAUUCUCCGCUACCUCAAUGGUACUUUAUUUCAUGCUCUUCAUUUUCGGCACACUGUUACCUCUCGCCUUCUGUCCUAGUCUGACUCCGGUUGGGUCUCAAAUCCGGAUGAUAGCCGCUCACAGUAUGGAUAUUCCAUUUACCAUAUACAUAAUCUUAUCAGUUGGACCUCACAGAAGCAAAAAGUUGUAGCACGGUCAAGUACGGAGGCAGAAUACCGAUCAUUGGCUUACACUUCUGCGGAACUUCUAUGGUUGCAGCAACUUCUCUUUGAGCUUGGCAGUCCCCUACAGCAACCUCUGUUCCUCUUGUGUGACAAUGUCGAAGCUAUCUUCCUCAGCAAGAACCCAGUUAUAUCCACUCGAAGCAUGUCGCGUUAGAUUUUCACUUCAUUCGAGAACAGGUCGAACGUGACACUCUACAAAUCUUCACUCAUGAUUAGCUCACAGACAUUUUUACAAAGCCACUACACAAAGAUCGACUCUCUUUUUUUCGGUCCAAGCUUCAACCUUCUCUUGAGCUUGCGGGGUGUGAUAACCGAGAUUACUUCCACUACUUAUUUUAAAUAUUCCUUGUAAUUAGUGGUUAUAGUUAGUGGCUUAGACAACUCCUUAACUAUAGGAGAUUAGUUGUACUCUGGUGUAUAUAAUCUCAUCAUCAAUAAUAAUCAGAAUCACAGAACCUUGCCAAAUAUCAAAUUUCUCUCCUUGUUUAAAAUGCUAUAAUUUUUGUUUUUCUUUUGAAAAUUGUUCGUUUAUGUUACACCUUUUUAGGUAGAACUCAUCAGAAGUUAUUUUGUGAGAAGAGGGUGCCAAAGAGGUUAUAUACAUAGCGAUCCGAGUCGACGUCCACAACAACCUACUUUAGUUAGCCUAUUAUGACGACUAAUUAGCCGAAAUCGUCCCAUACGUUUGGCUCGAAUCAGAAACUUGUCCCCGUUGUAUAAAAUGUAACGAAUGUCAUCCCUUUCGUUAUCGGACGUAACCAUUUUGUCCUACCGUCCGGCUCUGUCAUAACGACAAAUAAUUUUGCUGAUGUGGCAGUUCCACCUUAGCUAAAACCGAACCAAUAAUUACUCAUGGUUAAACAUGAUAAAUCAAAUCGGUUAGAAACAUGAUUGUUCGUCCUUUUCAUUUUAUAUUGUAACCACAAGGUCCUUUUCGAAUUUAAUGGUAGCACAUGAGCCUCGUUUUCAUGAAUGAUGAAGCCAAGUGCCCUCGUUCGUCCUUCUCAUCCAUCAUCAAGCCGUUUCAUCAUUCCACCAUUAUUGCAUGCAAAUUCAGCAACCAUCGAACAAGAGUUGGAAGAAGAUUACUACAAAAUGAUGAAGAUCCGUGAAGAAGACACCAAUGAGUGAUCGAUUUCUGAAGCUGGAGAGGAGAUGAAGAUCGAUUUUGAAUUGGAGGAGAUAAACCCUAUAUUUUACUAACUUCCAUUGAAGAAAUCCUAUAAAGGAAUUUUCUGGGCAAGGGGCGAGUUUGAUAUGUAUGGGAGACUAAUAGUCGCUUUUUCUUUGGAAUAAUAACACUUGAGUUACUUGAGCUGGUUAUUUGGGAUUUAAUAUGACCAGUUAUCCGAGUUUUAACCGUGGGUAAUUUUUGAUUUUGUCUAACCUACCACAUUGGAUGGGGUGGGCCCAACAGCGAUGCCACAUUAGCGAAUACUAACAGCCGUUUAGAUAGACACGAACGGAAGGACAUUUUCGUUACACGCAAAAACGAGAGGGACGACGAGGUUAUUUUUUUACGACGGGGACUAGUUUAUGAAUCGGGCCAAAUUUAAGGGACAAUUUCGGUCGAUUAGCCCUACUAUGACUGACCUACUUUGUUUUCAGGUAGCCCCCUCCGCAACUGUAGGUCGGUUGUGAACCAAGUUUUGAUAUCAAUUGUCACAACCUUUUGAGUAUAAUUCAUUUCGAAAAGUUAACUUAUGAGAAGAGGAUGGCUAAAAGAUUAUAAACCUACUCACUCAUCUCAUACUUAAUGAUGUGGUAUGCCAUUAUAGUGUUGUUUUGAUGGGGAUUUUGUAGUCUAUAUUUAUUUCAUUUCUUUGUUUGGUUAAAGUAUAAUUAUGGCGGUUAUUUUAUUGUUAUUUCUGCAGUUACAUUGACAAUUUGGUUGAUUGACAAUUUAGACACUGGGACCAAACCAGCUGUGUUCAGGCAUCCAUUGGAAAUGAAAUUUGCUAGACUUUCUAUCAAAUGAGACAUGACAUGGGAAUGGUGAAUGAGAUCAUAUUUAUCGUGACCAAUAAUUCUUAUACUGGAAGGCUCAAAAUAGAUAUAUUAUGUUCAACUCCGAAAAUAAUUAGGCCUAAGACUUACGGAUCAUCGAAAAUUCACACAAUUUCGCCACAUAGACCUGAAAUUAACUUACUGAUUCCAGUUUCUCCUUCCCUCGGCCUUGUUGUCGUUGCUGCCGUCAUUGGUGAAAGAAGAAGACUGCUAAAAUCCCUUUCCCCAGUCGCCGUGGUUGACAGAAGAAGAAGACUGAAACAAUCCUCUAGUCGGUGGCGGAAGAAAAAGAGAGGGACCAACAUGCCGGUUUGUUGACUAUUGAGCUCGCUGGGUUGUUUGAUUCACAGAUUGAGAAGGGGUUGCUUAGAUAGAGAAAGGAUUGCGUUCCUCACUCAGUAGGACGGCAACAUUUUGUGGGUUUUGGAGGUGUGAGGUGGAUUAAUGAAACGGUGUGCUGCUCACUAAUACCCAAAGGGUCAGAUUAUAUUCAUCAGAAUUCAACAUAGGCUGAUGUGGCAACAACAAUCUCACAAAUAACUAUAAUAUAACUUAAGAGGCUAAACAUGAUUAUAAAAAAAUGAUUGAUUUGACCUAAUUUAAAUUAUAAUAUAAUUAAAUUUAAAAUACCAAAAUUCAAAUACAUCAUUCAUUAUAUAAGGCAUUUAAUAUGUAAACAUCCAUAUCAACCCUAAUUUAACAAUAAAAGAUUUAGUUUAUCAUGAUGAAAUUACAACAUGAAAAAGAAAUAUAAACACGGUUAAUUAGUUCAAAUCGUCCCCUACGUUUAGGCUAAAUCAUAAAUUCGUAUUCAACAUAUCAAAAAUAACUAUAUCGUUCUUUUUGUUAUCAGAAUUAACUAAUAUGUCAUUUCGUCAAUCUCCAUCUAAAUGUCCGUUAAAUAUAUUGAUGUGACAUUAUCUUUAAACCUACUUUAUAUGAUGUGGCACUUUUUAUGUCGGUUCAGAACAAAGCGUGAUUAACCUUUACUUUAAUUAGUUUGAUUAAAAUUGUUAAAAAACCCAAAAUCAACUCAGUUGUUCAUCUUCUUCCUUCUUCAUCUGAUCAUUACUGCUAUCUUCCUUCUUCUAUUUAGGGAAAAACUCAACGAGGAAAAAAGAAGAAGCAGCAUCAGAUAAUGAGAAGACGAGUUGCGGUUUUCAUGGAUUUCAUCAGUUUUUUCUUUGUCACUACCGAAUUUUGAAUCUCUGCCUCUUCCAAGUCCCAACUCAUUUUCGUUCUCGCCAGCGUCGCCGAAGUCGUCCUCGCAGAAGCCGCCGUGUUCGGGUGACGAUUUGGUUGUGCAUAUUGCGCUCUUGGGGAAGUUCUUUGUAUUCACCGAUUACUGUUAUGUUGAGGGUUUACUAUGUUGGGAUUGAUUUGGUGAAGAUUAGGUUUAGAGUUUGAAAAAGUUGGAAUUGAUUGGGUUUAGUUGGAACGGAUGGAAGCUAAGUCGAGGAAGUUAGGAGGAGUUGUUCGGAUUCAAUGGUAGUGGUGGCGGUAGAGGUUGGGAUCAGAAGUCGGAAGCGGCGGCCGAUCCAAUGAUGGUGGUGGAAUGGUCCGAAUCGGUUGGGGUUUACAAGACUGGGUUUUGGUUGGAUCAGGUGUCAAGUCUAUGUGUGGACAAUUUGAAUGACUUGCUAACUAUGCAUAUUUAACAAAAUAUUUUAACGAUCAUUAAUUUUUAGAUAGAAGCCUUAAAAUUCGCAAAUAAAUUUCAUCAAUGGCAACUCUCGCUUCAUUUAAAAUAAUAAUUUUAUAAAUUAAAUAAUAAUUUAAAAUUAAUUUUUCAAUUCUUAAUCAAACAUAAAAUUGAAAAUUACCCAAAACUGAUUUUUGUUUGAUAAUCAAUUAACUUAGUCAAUUCAAGUCAAACUCUGGUCAUAGUAGGUGUCAGACCUAGCAUACCAAAUCAGUUGGAUCUUGUUUGAUUCAACCAAAACCGGUCAAACCAAGCUGGUUCAACCAAUCUGGUCUAACCAGACAACGCCAACCAAAUCAAAUCAGCUGCAAGCCGUACCAACCAAAACUUUUUCAUGUACAGCAACUUACACCCAAUUUGGCCGUGUACAUAAAUAAGGCCCAAAGACAAUUUGUGGUUUCACUAAACCAAUAUUGCGAUGGAAUAAUGGCGGCUAAUUCACUUAAGUUGGGUAAUUAAUCGAACCGGCCAGGUUUUACUGGUGCUACCAAGUCUGACCGAACCAACAGAGAAAGUAAUAAUACAUGGAAAAAUCAAACAAUUCCCAUGCACUUUUGAUUCCACCAAACCAAAAUUUGAUGAAUCUGUUCCCUCGAAGGCUCAAGCCGAUAUUAAUCUGAUAAGUUUUGGAUAUAUGAUUGCAGGUAAUGUUAAGAGUUCAGUAACUGUCCAAUGCCUCCGCUCGUUGUCCAACAACCAACAGCAAAAAUUAAAACACUACUGCUUCUACUAUUGAGGCAGUCACAUCAGCAGUUGGUGAUGAUGGUUCGGUCUAGUUUUGAUUUUAUGUAUUUCGAUUUGUAUCGAAUAGAUUUGAUGAAACAAUUUUCAUCCAACGAAAUUAACAAACAUUAAAACACCUUUUCAAUAGAAAAUAUUAACAAAAUAUAAUCCUCUCUAAAUUGAAUAAUUUCAUGAAGAACACAAUAUCAUUUUGUUAUGAAAAAUACGCAAAAUGAGAGAGCUCUGAUACCACUUAAGGAAAUCAUUUUAGAUGCAUAACAACUAAUCGCAGCGGAAAUACGAUUACUUCUAACUUCCUAAACUGACUCGCAUGCAUAUAAAUCAAUAACAAAGGUUUUCACAAUUUAGCGUGAUUACUAGCUCGACGACUAGUACUUGCUGAACCUUUUAGAUCGAUUGCGACUUAUGAGAGCUUAACGUGUAGAUCCUCUACUUAGUCCACACUAGUUGGGUUCUGGAUCUCCUUCGUCAACGCCUGCUAGAACGCUUGAUCGAAGAACGAACUUUUAGAGAGUUUGGUGGCUAGAGUUUUCUAUCUAUCGGCGUCUGAGGGCUUCAGGCUUCGAAGAAAUUGUUACAGCUAACAGUCUAUUUAUAGAGUUUCUCAUAAACCCUAAAACCUAUUGAUCCGGUCCAUACUAUAAGCGUGUGACCUUAUAGGACCUGGUCCGAUUAGCCGUGACCCAAACCACUAAUUAAUAAUGACCUCUAACAAGAUGUGUUAACUCCUAACCAGCCCGAAUUAAUUCCGAUUAAUUAGGUCCAACAAUUUAUUAAUUUUUAUGCGUAUUUGAGCUGAAGGACAUAAAUCCUUCAUAAAAACUCCGCAUAAAAUAAGGUCGAGUAGGCAUACAAUUGAGUGAAACGACCUCAAAAAUCUGGUUCCGAAAUGAUACAGUCCUCAAUUGAGGAAAAUGACGCCAUCGGAAUAUUGACCAAAUCCAAUUGCAACUGCAUGGGAGUCUCGACAGGAACACUGAAAAGUCCUAACAUCCAUUAAUAAUGACAUCACUCACCUCCAAUCCUUAUAGUCCUAGCGGAAUCUCUCCCUCCACCCAACUUCGUAAAGAAUCAAGCCCCACCCCCGUGUCGUCCCAAAGGUGAUGUUUUCACCUGUGCCAAUUUGCUACACAAACCACCGUUCCAAGUUAUGAUAAGGUAAGAUACCCUUCCAAUGUGGCGAGUCGCUCUUCCACUACGGGCCUCUCGGAUGUCGCCAUACUUGGCAGUGUAAAUAUAAUUCCACACGGAGUUUCGUUUGGACGCCAUCUGUCAAACUAAUUUGUUGAGGUGAGCCACAGUAGCAAGCCUCAUUUGCCUUACUGCGAGGCCGCCUUGAUUCUCCGGUUGACAAAUACACUCCCAAUUAACCAGAAAGUGGAUAUCCUUUAUCACGCGGCCAUAUACCAAAAGAACCUUAAAAUACCGCCCAAGGUUUUCCGAGAUUUUGGAGCCCAUGCAACUUAUCAUACCGUGGUUCAACUCUGAAAACCAAUGACAUUUUUUAAAUGGUUUUUAAAAAUGGGCUUACGAUUGAGAUUUGUAGGUUUUCAAAUUAAGGGCUUAAGUUUGGGCCAGGGCGAGAGAAAGCCAGAGCCGAAAGUUGCAACAAGAUCCACUCGCCCAGCAGAAGCCCAAAUAGUUCACAGUACGGAUUGAGAUUUUGCAAUUCUCCAUAGCCGUCGGAAGGAGAAGGAGAAAUUGAUGAACUGAGAGAGUCGAGAGAUCGGCAGUAGCAUAUACACGACUCUAGGUCAUUCUUUCUUCGGCCUGGUUUUACGCUUUUACUUUCUAACUAUACCUACUUCUUUCUCACUUCUUCUGCUGUACUGAAAGUAUUGUUGGGUAAGAGAUUUACAUUUUCUAGGGUUUUUGGAGUCCGGCGAAGAAAGAAGAAGAAAUGGGUUUCUCAAUGCAGCCGUACGGUAUACAAUCAAUGCUGAAGGAGGGGCACAAGCAUCUCUCCGGUCUAGACGAAGCCGUCAUCAAGAACAUCGACGCUUGCAAGCAGCUCUCCACCAUCACCCGCACCUCCCUCGGCCCUAAUGGUACCCAACCAACUUCCCCUCUCAUGUCGCUGCAAGUGAUAGAUGUUAAAGUGUUGGGUUUUUCGACUUUGGAUCUCUUGAUUUGGGUGGGUGACUUUUGUUUGUUUCUGUUUAGGUAUGAAUAAAAUGGUUAUCAACCAUCUGGACAAGCUUUUUGUCACCAACGAUGCCGCAACCAUUGUAAACGAGCUUGAAGUUCAGCAUCCUGCUGCCAAGAUUUUGGUACUGGCUGCGAAGGCCCAGCAGGAAGAAAUAGGCGAUGGAGCUAACUUGACCAUCUCUUUUGCCGGUGAGCUCCUUCAGAAUGCUGAAGAGCUUAUCAGGAUGGGCCUUCAUCCUAGUGAGAUCAUCAGUGGCUACACCAAGGCCAUUGCCAAGGUACCUAACUACCACUCUAUUAGCACCACCGCAAAUACAUGUGUGUUGAGUGCUAACUUAAUAUGAGUUUUGAAUUCCCCAGGCGAUUGAAAUAUUGGAUGAAUUGGUAGAGAAAGGUUCUGAAACAAUGGAUGUCAGGGACAAGGACCAAGUUGUUUCUCGCAUGAGGGCUGCUGUUGCUAGCAAGCAAUUUGGACAAGAAGAUAUCUUGUGCAGUCUUAUAGCUGAUGUGAGUAUACUAUUCAGAACCUGAUUCCUUAUCCAUUUCAUUUUCAGUGUAUUGUUUCCUUGACUUCUCCAUUGCUUGCUUGCACUGUAGGCCUGCAUACAAGUUGUUCCCAAGAACCCAGCAAGCUUCAAUGUGGAUAAUGUCCGUGUUGCAAAGCUUGUUGGAGGAGGUCUGAACAACAGUACCAUAGUUCGUGGAAUGGUAUUGAAAAGUGAUGCUGUUGGUACAAUAAAGAAAAUAGAGCAGGCCAAGGUGAACAAAUUGCUUGUUCUCCUUGAUCUUUUUUGCCAUAUAAGAUUGUACCUUCUAUUUUGAAUGUUCACUGCCUUCAAGUCAUGAAUGAAGCUUAUCCUUGUCUCUUAUUUAUAAUGAUUAAGUUGAACCAUCCUCUUAUGUUUUUGCAUUCUUAAAUGCAUCUAUAGGUUGCUGUAUUUGUUGGCGGUGUUGAUACAUCUGCAACUGAGACAAAAGGAACUGUCCUAAUUAACACCGCUGAGCAGGUAUAUAUAUAUGCAUUGUUUUCUGGGAGGAGUUACUGUGGUUAAUUCCUUCACUGCUACAGACUUGUGAUACAAAUGCUGUUUUUUGUGGAUUGACAAUGUUCUUGGUCUUGCAGCUACAAAAUUAUGCAAAAACUGAAGAAGCUAAAGUUGAGGAGCUUAUCAAGGCGGUCGCUGAUUCUGGUGCUAAAGUUAUUGUCAGCGGUGGAUCUGUUGGAGAGAUGGCCCUACAUUUCUGCGAACGAUACAAGUAAGCUCUUACUAUAUCUCUCGCCAAGCUUCUCAUCUCAUUACUUUGUCAAUACUGGUUACUGGAGAAUUUUUUUCCCCAUAGCUUUGCAAUGCUUUCACUUCUAAUUUAUCCUGCUCUAACUUUCAGGCUCAUGGUUUUGAAGAUUAGUUCAAAAUUUGAAUUGAGACGAUUUUGUCGCACUACUGGUUCUAUUGCAAUGGUAUGUUCAUUUAAUGGGAGUUCUCUUUAGUCGCAGACUGCCGCUGAUUUGUCUGCUUUUUGCAACAGUUGAAGCUUAGCGCACCAAAUCCAGAUGAUUUAGGACAUGUGGAUUCUGUUUCAGUUGAGGAGAUUGGUGGAGCAAGGGUAUGUUCAGCAAUGAUGUGUAAUCAUAAUAUGCAAAUUUUAAAAUUGACUAGUUGUUACUAAAAUAACUAAGCUUGUAACUGAUCACUUGGUUUAUUAUGCAGGUCACUAUUGUGAGAAAUGAAGAAGGCGGAAACUCAAUCAGUACUGUUGUCUUGCGAGGAAGCACUGAAAGUAUAUUGGAUGAUCUUGAAAGAGCUGUUGAUGAUGGAGUUAAUACCUACAAAGUAAACAUACUAAAACUCUCUUUUUGGCUGUUUGUAUGGUACAUCGACUCUGCAACCACACGAAAAUUUUGGUGAACCUGUGUUUAUCUGACAGUGGCGCGACAGGAACAUUAUCCUUAAGUUCUGAACAAAUUUCUUGUUGGUUUAAAAUAUUUACUCCUUAAUAUUUUUCUUCUGGAUGCUAACACUUAUAUUCUCAAUAUAAAUUUCAUUGAAGCUCUAUUAACCCUUUAUUCUUAAAUUUCGUGUCUUUUCUUUGCAUCAGGCAAUGUGCAGAGAUAGUCGCACAGUACCUGGAGCAGCAGCUACUGAAAUUGAGUUAGCUAGACGAGUGAAGGAGUUCUCGUUUAAAGAAACAGGGUAAGUAUUUGUUUUUUUGUUUUAGUUUUAUUUGGAACGGUUUCCGUGAUUCCCAAAGUUGGAGAUUUCUAUCACUGCUCUCUGAGAGGUUGAUGAUGGAGACAAAACUUCAACAAGCUUAUGAUUUUUUCUGUGUGAUGGCUCGCAGAUUGGAUCAGUAUGCCAUUGCAAAGUUUGCAGAAAGUUUUGAGAUGGUUCCAAACACACUUGCUGAGAACGCCGGCCUUGAUGCAAUGGAGAUAAUAUCUUCUCUUUAUGCUGAACAUGCAUCUGGAAAUGCAAAAGUAGGCAUCGACUUAGAGGAAGGUGUUUGCAAGGAUGUAACGGUGACAAAUGUCUGGGACCUCCACGUGACCAAGUAUGUGUCUCGUUUACCUGUUUUCCUGCUUAUACAUGGUUUUAACUGCAUUUAUUUUUUUCUAAUAGUUAUCGUCUGCUUAAAAGCAGUUGAUAUGGUAUUCCCAAACUUAUUAAUUGUUGGCCAUAUGCCUAUAGGUAUUUUGCCCUCAAAUAUGCUGCUGAUGCUGCCUGCACUGUGUUGCGAGUAGAUCAGGUAUGUUGGCUUUUCUUUGCAUACAAAUGAAAAAAACUGUCCUAGUUGUAAGUUGUUCUAGGUCAUGUUGACCAAUAUUGAGUCUGUUCGGUUGCAUGCUGUGGUUACAGAUUAUAAUGGCGAAACAAGCAGGUGGGCCGAGGAGAGACCAAGCUGCAGCAGCAGGAGCAGGAAUGGAUGAAGACUAGUUUACUGUUUUGCAUCAUCUCAUCAUAAUUUCAGUUUUGUCUUCUUUUUGUUUGUACCAUCUUAUCCACAGCACACUAAGGGUAAGGAGCCCUGGAGGAAUCUCUAUAGAUAGAACUUUGUAGCUGCAAGGAUGUUGCUACUUACCCUUAAACACAGUUUUGCUGUAUAUUUAAGCAUUGUCAGGUGAUGUGAGAGGUGUGCAUGUGAAACCUUUCCCUCAAAGGAAGGUUCUCAAGCUUAUGUGGUGUUUCUUUCUAGUUUCUACAUUGGAGUGGCUUUUUAUUAUCUUAUCGCAAUGGAGUUUUUGUGUGAUGGUAGUCAUAGAAAUCCUGCAAACGAAUGGUCCAUAAAGAAGAUAAAAUUAGUGUUGAUAAAUUGAAAAGGUACAAACUUGGAGCCAUAGAAUUGAUUACCAAGUCUUGACAAAAAUAUAGUCUUGUCUGUAAGCGGAGUGAGGACGAUGAAUGUGCGAGUGUAAGCAGCUAAACGUAGUGGGUUUUCUUCCACUUUGCCAUCUUCCAUGGCUUCCCUUUUUCCCUUUUCACUUCCCAAACCAGGUAUAGUCAGAGCCACUUCACUCUCUACAACCACUUCCAUUCCCACUUCAGACAGUGGUGAUGUUGAUACUGGGGCUGGCGGGGGCACACUUGAAGAAAGGUUUGGGAGAAAGGGAAUCAAGUUCUCUGAAACCAGCAAUAAUGUCCCACUUGUUGAACUGACUGUCAGAAAUGGCAGCUCUCUGAAGCUCCAGGUUCCAGAUGCUCAUAUCACGUCCUACUUGCCCAAAGUCUACUGGAAGGAUGAUGGGUUUGAGGAAGUUCUCUACACAAUUCCACCCAUUGGCGAUGGAAAGAAAUCCAAAGGCGGAAUCGGUUUGGUUGUCUAUGAUGUCUCUCAACCGAAACCUUCCCUUCUCACAGGUUCUGAAUGGUCUGUAAAGGCAGUGGAUUCUGAUGCCAUUGAUGCUCUCCAGGUGACUUCUUCUUUCUCAAUCUCUUCACAAGAGUUUGUUCCUCUUCUCAUGAGCUUGAAAAACUGUUCUUUGUGUGUCUGUGUGUGGAAAGGUUGAGUUGGAGUGCACAAUUGGGAAACUUCAGAUGACAUACGUUGUGACAUUGUAUCCAGUGAGUGUUGCCACAGCAGUAAUUGUGAAGAACAAUGGUCUGAAGCCAGCGACUCUGACAAGUGCUAUACUGAGUCACAUGAGAUUCAAAUAUAGAGGGAAGUCAGCAAUCCAAGGGCUUCGAGCAUGUACCUACUGCACGCACCCGCCAUUGUCUUCGCCUUUCGAGAUAAUCACCCCUGGUGAAGCGAUGAAGCCUGACUCCCCUAGACUCUUUGAUUUCUUCUUCGAACCAGAGGAGAAACCUGGCAUAUGGAAAGUUCAGGAUAUACCCUUCACAAUGCUUAACCACAGGCUUACGAGAAUCUAUGCUGCUCCACCAGAGGAGAGAUUGAAGCUAUUCUAUAACACUACACCAUCCAAAUUUGAGACACUUGAUCAGGUAUGAAUAGUUUAACUUCCUUUUUCUAAUUUGAUUGCUGGAAACUCAACUAACUGGUCAUGGAUCAUGAUUAUUGCAGGGAAGGGAGUUGUUCUUCAGGGUGAUAAGGAUGGGUUUUGAGGACAUAUAUUUGUGUAGUCCAGGUCCAUUCUCAGAGAAGUAUGGCGACGACAAACACCAUUUCAUCUGCACAGGACCUGCUGCAAUGCUGGUGCCUGUAGUUGUGGAACCUGGAGAACAGUGGAGGGGUGCUCAAGUUAUAGAGCAUGACAAUUUGUAGUCACUUACAGAACUACCAUCAAUCUUCUCUUUUUUGUUCCCUUCUGGAGUAAAUAUAAAUUGGAUGUUGUUUUCUUAGAUCAUCAUCUAGUUUUGAUCCAAUUGGAUUAGCAGCAUUCAAAGCACAUAGUUGGUUCUACACCUUUACUCUUAAUGAAAAGAACAUAAGUUUGAUUGCUGUAAAGAGGUGUAGUAUGGCUUCAAUCUGAACAUUGCAAAGCUUGCAAAUGAAAGAAGGAUAAGGCUUUAGCAAACGCUUGGCUAUCAAGUUGUACCCUACCAGUGUUAUCCAAUCUCAUCCCAUUACAUUUAAACAAAGGAUACUCAAAACAAUAAUUAAAAAUACCUGCAAGUUCCGGAUCUUCUUGUUGCUGCUUGUUAGAACAUUUGAUCAAGGAACAAACGAGCAACCAACACAAAUCUUGAGGGGGGCAGCAACAUCUAUAUAGAGUUUGCUCUAGUUUGUUUGUCAAUACAGAAGAUAAAGAAUACUUAUGUUUACCUGUUAGGCUUAGCAGUACAUUUAUAGAAUUGGUGUGACAAACCAUAAACCAAAACCCUUUUUCUAAACAGCAGUUAGCACGACUAACAUUCAACCGAAGAAGGCUUACAACAAUACAACGUCUGAGAAAAUACAAAGAAAAUUACUCAAAAUGCUAGGCUGCUACAGAAUGACGAUAUGACAACUAUGUCGGAGUAAGAAAUUGGCCUUGCUCAGAACCAUCAAACAAAAUCAAUGAUGCAAAACCUGAUAAAAUAGCCAAAACAAAGGUAACAAGUAACCUAGCAUCGCUUUUCCAAUACUGCUUCUUAAUGCUUUGGCUUUGCAAGUUGGAUUUCUUCUCGGCAGCAGCACCCGCUUUGCGGUUCAUGUCUGCAACUUCCACUGCGUUGCUAGUAACAUCAACUGUUGAUGAAACUGAUUCAGAUGCAUCCGCAUGUUUCUUCUCAACAACAUAUGACUCUUCAUUCUCAUUGGAGUCAUCGUUCCUGUCAAACUCCCUUUGGUUCAACUUUGAAGUUGGCCUGCUAUCGCAAUUGCAUGUGCACGGGCUUCUGAACCGCCUGCUAUUCUUCUCGUUAAAUUCCGGAUCGACAACAUUAGAAUCCUGUAGUGAGCGGAUGAGCUUCCUAGGGCUUGUGAAGAUGCUCAUGUUAUCGACAUUUAGGUGCGUACGUGACCUCUGAAUGUCAUAAGAAUAUAAUUAACAAGUGGUGAAAAUUGCAUCUAAUUAACAUAAAAUCAUUGGCACAAGUGGAGUAGCUAUCAUCUCAUUUAUAUAGUUAACUAAAUAUUUCAUUUUUCAGGCAUUUCCAACUAAAAUUCAUGAUUAAUGAUUACUAACGUCCAUGGAAAAGUACCUGAGGACUGGGUGUGCAGCUCCUAGGCAGCCCGUUUAUAGGACUUGUCGGCAAGAAGCCCGAAAACUCGGCAGCACGAGUUCCCUCAUAUUCAGUCGAGCUAUUAGUGAUAGGAGUUCCAUGAGUCAGUUGUGAAAAUAACCCAUCUUUAAGCGAAACAUCCCCCCUUCCAUUUUCAAGGCUCCAUAGCUUACGGUUGACACUCCUGCUGUCAUACUCACAGCCACAGUCAUACCCAAGGGCAUGAGAGACUGGAGUUCUUGUUAAAGGUGACUCAACCAUAGAGUCAUACUCCUCCAUGAAAGAGCCAAGAGUCUGCGACUCCGGACUGGACAGAUUUGUUCUCCUUCUAGAAUCCCUUUUACUGAAGUUAGACCCGGUGACAGAACCACCAGAACUCUUGUCAAACUUUGAUGCUUCGUCUGAAUAAAUUUUCUUUGCUGUUUGCAAAGCUUCAAAAGCAGCUCCUUUCACAAAUGCCAUCUGUUGAUCUGACUGACAUUUCUCCAUCUCCAGAAUGAUUAAAUCAAGCAUGGAGAAUACACUUCUCGGGUCCAAGCACUUCAUCAUGAAAUUGAUCAUUUGGAUAGCUGACAUACGCGUCUGGGAAUUACCGUCUUGCAAACCACCACCAGCAUUAUUCAGGAUGGACAAACCAGUCCGGAUCAACAACCUUGCAUAAGGUUCAACUAUCAAAGCAUUACGCUUUGAUAAAGCCAUAACCAAUCCCAUAUGGGAGUUAGAUUGUGUUGACUGCUCCUCAAGCGCCACAGCUACAUUCUGGCAGACUUUGUUCACCAUCUCAUCAGAAGCAAAUCUCCAAUUAUCAGAGUCCACAAGAGCCUUCAAGCAAAGGGCAGCCCCUGAGGUAAGACUUUCUUGAGCACCCAGAAGAGCUUCAACAAGAGGCUUGCAAAGGGAAUGAAUUAUGCGCCUCUUCUCGACUUCUGGAGUUGUGGGCUCGAUGCCAUACCUUGCAAUAGCAGGCACAACUUUGGAGCACGCCUGUUGGAGAGGGAAAGACACUGCACUUGCAGACAACGUCUUGAUGACAGUAGUCAUGAUACGGUCGAUUUGAGAAACAAUCUUGACUCCAUGGACACGGGCAAGGACUUCGUAAAGUGAGAUGGUGAAUUCUCCAGAUAUAGCACCAGUUUCUUUAGUCUCUGAAACCUGGGCAAGAAAAAUUGGAAUGGCCCUAGAAUCCAUGUCUUUGACGUAUGAUUUCAGCGCCUUCAUCGCUGAUUUCCGACUCUCGGCAUCUUUGUCAAGAUUUGCCAACUCUCUCUUCAAUGGACUCAGGCUCCUACCCAUUUCCCGAUCUGAAGACAUAGCAGCAUCAUAAAUAUAAAAAUCUUCAACAUUUCCAACACAGUCGUGAUAUCAACAAUGAUUAAACCAAUAAAAUGAACAUAAACAAUCAAGAAGGAUAAAUGUAUCAAAAGGUCAAUCCUUAACACACAUCAUAUAUGAACUUCUGAAGUAAACAAUCGAACGGGAAUCAAAGAAGGUAACUUUACAAAAACCCACCAAUCUCUACAGCGUUUCAGGCUACAGUAAGUCUGCAGGUAUCUUUUUGAAUCCUAUGAUCUGCUUAACACCGUCCAACGAAUGAAAUGGAGCGGAAAAAAGAUCGAAACUUUGAAGAAGUUUUUUAAACAGAGAGAAGGUACAAGAAAAUGUAUUUGCUUUACGUUCUGUGUUUGUUUUUCUGUCCGGAUGUACAGAGAACAGCGAGAUCUGUGUGCCUGUGUGGUGGUGGUAGUAGAGAGUAUUUAGGGUUUUGAAUAUUUUGAGUGUAUGGGAUCCAGAAAAUUUCAAACUGGGGGAUUGGGUGGGGUGGGAGCGGGAGUAUCCAAAUCCUUCCACGUAUAUGUCGUUACAUUUUGUCUUCUAUAUGGAUCCCGCCUUCCUCAACUUCAAAAUUCAAAUCUUUUGUGGUUGAUUACUUAAAUGGUCACUGAACUUUGGCCUUCAAAUGGUCACUAAACAAAAAAAAUCAGAGUGAUGUUGUAAUUUGUAACUAUUGAGGGCUAACCCCCUGCCGUCUACAAACAUCCAAUUUUUCCAUCCAAUUGCAUAUGUGGAGGUGCCAUGUCAGUAUCCACAUCAUUAUAAAGACCACAUCAUCACAAAACCAAUACAACCCCAACCGGAUCAGAAACAAUCCCUAAUCUAAUUCAAAAAUUAAACUCGAAGGGUCGUUUGGGUCGCUUGUUCCCAAAUCACUCGUUUGAACGCUUAAAUAAAAAAAUAUUUGAGAUGAUUUGAAAUCUCAUUAUGGGCCCGGAGAAAAUGUAGUGGGUGAUUUCAAAUCACCCUAAAAAAUAGAAAUUUAGGAGAAAUGGGAGAAUUUCUAAAAUAAUUAAGAAAAUAUUAAAAUUCAUGAAAAUAGCACAAAUAACAGUAAUUCUCACAUCAGAAAACACAAGUCUUAAACACUACUUCUCCAUCAAGCACAUGCUAAGGAUUCCAACACCAAUCAAACAUCAGAACAUUUGUAGAAUCACAUCCAUAAUUCCAGAUUAGAGAUGAACUGCAAAUGAUGAGAUGAAAUCAAUAAGGAAACUCAUCAUUCAAUUAUUUGAAACGUAUCUCGACCGAGGAAAGAACGCCUUUGUAUGCAUGAGUCGUAGGAGAUUUGUGUAGAUUGAGGCUUUUCGAUGGGUGCAUGUCGAUUUAAGAGUGAUUUCCGAUGAUAAUGAUGAUAGAAUGACAUGUAUUCUAUGAAGGUUAGGUUGGAUUAUAGGAGAUUAGCAAGGAAUCUAAGAUUUUAGGGCGUUUGGCGACUAGAAAAUAAGAGGCUUUCAAGAUUAGAGUUUUGUGAAUUUGGGAUGAAUGUGGAAAUAAAAUGACAGUGUAUGUGUGGCUUAAGUUUAAAACUAAAUUAUUUAUAUUGAACCUAAAACGGCGUUGUGUUGCGAACAGUUCGGAUAUGGGGUGGAUAGCUCAUUAUCCGUAACCGGCCGUCAUCCGAGUCACACGGGUUGCGGGUCUACCCAUCAUCGCCGAUAGUCUGUGGGUAAUGGGCACAAGCCUAAUCAAUUUAGACGGAUACCGACGGGUAACCAAACCGGAAGUGGUGUGGGGGAGGGCAUUGCCAAGUCUAGGGGAGAUUUGAAAAUUCUAACCAAAAUUACUCUAUAAAUUUUUCAAAAUUACGCAUGCUACUUGAUUAUAUUAUAGAACACUUUAUUAGUUUCUUUUCACAUUUUUUUUACUGAAACCUGCAAGAUAUUAUUAAUCUCAAUUAGGUCUUACAUCAUCCAGGUUGAGCUGCUCAAUAAGAACGAUAGGAGGAUGAUCCAUCCAGACAAUAGGAGUAUUCCAAUUAGUUAUAUUAUGCAUCAUAAUAUGGGCAGCUUCAUUAACUUCACGACAACCAUGAUUCCAAAUCCCGUGUCAAACUUAGUGAGCAACCCACUUUUAUUUCUAUAAAUAAUCCCCCAACUCAGUGAUGUUAUCAUCCGCAUUGUGUAAGCCCUGCAUCACCAUAAGAUUAUCACUUUCCCCAAGAACCUUAGUUAAUCGAUGGCUAAGAGCAAGCUGCAAUCCAAACUCCGUCGUAAUUGCUUCCGCCAUUUCCGGUGCCCAAAUCCCUUCGGUUCUCAUGACAGUUGCCAUAACAAAGUCUCUAUGGUAAUUCUGAAUAACUACAUCCGCCCUGUCCCCGAAGUACCGAAAAUCGCUGCAUCAGUAUUGAUUUUAUAGAAACCCAUUGGAGGCCGCAACCAUCUUUUGUUUCUCGCCAUCGUGUUCGCAUCUCCCUCCACAGUCUGAUUUGACCUGUAAGAAAGCAAAUACUAUGCAGCUUUCUGUUUAAUUUCAUUUUCCACAGGAACCACAACACCAUACACCAUUCUUCCAGCUCGCCAAUAGAGAAACGAGAUCCAAUCUUCUCAAGCUAGUCCCAACAGUCAAUCACAGCCCCUUGAUCGAAGAAGCGUUUCACCGGUGAUGAUCCCCAAACUCUAUGAGUCCAUUGGCAUUCAAGGAAAAGAUGGAUAUGAGAUUCGGGAAGUCCAAAAAAAGGACAUUCCUCUCUAGCUCGAUUACUCCGUCUGCACAAGUGGUUCUCAGUAGGGAGAACAUCCCGUAGGAAUUUUGAAAGAAAAUUCUUGACCUAGGGUGGCAACUUACGAGACCAAACACAAUUCUAAGUAGUUGCAGUAGCCAUCGAUUGAAUAUUAAACACCUCUUUAAAUUCAGAAAGCCACACCUGGUAACCAUCUGUAAUUGAAUGACGGCCAUUCCAGCUAAAGCUCCAAAUAAGACAAUCAGAUUCACCAAGAUUCCGAAGGAGAAUUUGCUCAAUAGUUGUCGCUAUUGCUGGUGGGAAGCAGCUUUCAAUAUGAGCAAUAUUCUAAUGUUCAGUUUCUAGGUCAACCAACUGUCUAAAAUUAGCACCAACCGGAAGCCCCAUGGUUGGGGAGGAGAUAAAGUUACCCGGAAUAGUUGGCAGCCAACAAUCUCCCCAAAUCUGAAUCGACGUCCCAUUACCCACUCUCCAACGAAGACCACGCCACAUGAACUCUUGAGCACUACAGAGGGUUCGCCAAAUAAAGCUUGGACGAUACCCCAAGUCGACUUAAAAAUUAAUAGACUUCCUGAAAUAUUUUUCUUCCAUAAUCUUAGCGAUAAGCAAGUCGGGUCUCAAAUGAAGAUUCCAUAAUUACUUAGCGAGAAGAGCUACAUUAAAACCCCUCAGAUCAUAGAAUCCCAUCCCAGCUUCCGCUUUCGGGCACACCAACUCCUCCCUAAGAACCCAAUGGAUACGACGUUGUCUCUCGUUAUCCCCACCAAAAACUCAUAAUAAGACUAUGAAUAUCAUCAAUAAUCCCAUCUAGCAACUUAAAAACUGUCAUAGCAUAGGUGAUCCGAGCUUGUGCCAUCAAUUUUAUCACGACCUCCUUAGCUGCAAUCGACAUCAUCUUCUCUUUCCAACCCUUAAACUUUUUCCGAACCCUUUCUUUAAGGUAGGAGAACAAUUUUUUCUUAGACCACCCAACUUCAGUAGAAACCCAUAUACUUAUCAUGCUUUUCCACCACCCUCAUUUCCAAAACAGAACUAAUUUAGAUGAUGGCUAACAUUUCAGGUGAAAGAAAUCUCUGAUUUCUUAAAAUUAAUCAUCUGUCGAGAUUCCAAUUUGUACUCCUUUAGGAUGUUCUUCACAAUAAUGCUUUCUUGAACAGAAGUCCUAGCAAAGAAAAUGCUAUCAUCUAUAAAAAAAAAUGAGAAACUAUAGGCGUUCUCAUUGCUGCUUUAAGACCAUGAAGAUUUUUAGAGGGAGCAGCUUUAGUAAUAGCAUAAGAGAGCCCUUCCGCACACAAAAGGAAAAGAUACGGUGAGAGCGGAUCCCCUUGACGAAGACCCCGUGAAGGAUCAAAAAGAAAAUUCCUGCACACACAUCAUAAUCCUAGCAGUUCACCUCUCAUCAAAACCAACUCGCCCAAUAAUACCUUCUAAAAAAGGUCAUUUGACUCUAUUAUAGGCUUUGGCUAUAUCAAUCUUAACUGCAAAAUAUCCUGUUUUUGUCUUAUUAAUCUUCGCCAUAGUAUGAAAGCUUUCAAAAGCCGCCAUAACAUUAUCAAUGAUAAAUCUUCCCAACACAAAAACACUAUGUUCCGGAGAAACAACCUUAUCAUAGUAACCUUCAACCUGUUCCGGAGAAACAACUUUAUCAUAGUAACCUUCAACCUGUUAGCAAGAGUUUUAGCAACCAGCUUAUAGAAAAAAUUACAGAGACUGAUAGGCCUAAACUCUUUAGGGGAAUUCGGUACUUUCACUUUCGGAAUUAAAGCAGUGAGAGUCUAAUCAAGCUCUACCGGAAUAACAUCACUCUCUAAAAUAUUGAUAACGAUGGAACGCACAUCAUCACCAAUGAUAUUCCAGUACUUCCUGUAGAAAAAAACCGACAUCCCAUCCGCACCUGGCGAGUUUUGAGCACCCAUUUGAUUAAGUGCUACAAACACUUCAUCUCCGGUAAAAGGGCAACACAGAAAACUAUUAUCCUCGUGAGUGACCUUUUACGGUACUGCAUCCAAAAUCGGAGAGGUUGGAGGAAUAGAACCCGCCUAAAAAGGAGAAACAAACCAAUUAAUAAGGCAGCCCUCCACCUCCUUCUGUCCUGUAAACCACUUCCUAGAAUCAUCUUCGACUUUUUCACUGUAUUACGGCUUCGACGGGCGGAAGCCUUUUAUGCAAAACAUAUGUAUUCCUAUCUUCCUCCUUUAGCUAAUCCGUCGUGGUACGUUGUUUCUAGUACAUCUCUUCAUUUUCUUCCAAGGUAUUCAAUUCCAAAUCCAGUUGGUGCCCCUGAUUUAAAAUCAAAUCUGACAUCGGGCUACGAUCCAGGGCUUUUAGAGCUCUUUGGAAUUUAUUUUGCUGAGCUGAAAACUGCAGGAAUAUAGCUCUGCUCAAAACAUCCAAACUUUCAAGACAGCUUGCUAAUUUAGAAUUAACCGCCGACAAAUCCAGAGACAUCAGCACACUCUUAAUGUUUAGCCCAAUAAGGAUCAAAACAAAAGGACCAUCCCCAUGUAAUUUCAAUAUCAUCAGACCCACGGGUAUGACACAAAAUUUGGGCGAUGAUCAGAACGGGAUCUAUCGAGAUUGAGCACCUGAUGAGUGCCAAAAGGGUCUAACCACUUUUGAUUAACGACAAAACGAUCCAUCCUCUCCUCUAUGAAAUCAUCAACCGAUUUUUUAUUGUCCAAAGUAAAAGGGUAAGCUUUAAAACCAAGAUCUUGUAAGCCACAAUCAGAAAGAAAAUUGUUAAACUCAUUGAUACUAGCCUCUGAAGAAACACCACCACCUAAUUUUUCAAACAAUGAGGCAAUCUGGUUGAAAUCUCCCCCGCAAAGCCACGGGCCACCCCAUUGAGAACAAAGACUACAAAGAAGGUCCCAAGUCUUCACUUUAUCCUUAAACUACGACCAUCCAUAUAGACACAUAAGACGCCAAUCAUCAAUACCACCUUUCGAGAUUUUGACAUCAAAAUGAUCAGCCGAUAUCGAUUGAAUCUCAAUAGUAACAUCUUCAUCCCACAAAAUACUGAAUCUCAAGAACACCCAAAGCGAAAAUUACAAUCAUUCUGCAAGACCAAGUUCUCCUCCACAGUAAGACGAGUCUCUAACAUGAAGAUCACUUGUGGGGAAAAUCAUUGAAUAUUUGAAUUUAAAGAUUUAACCGUUCCACUCUUGAUACACCCAAGGAAAUCAAUCCAAGGAUUGAUCCCAACACCCAAACUGUCAGGAACCUACAUAACCAUCAGCUAAGAGAUUUAAACUUUCUUGAUUUAGAAGUUAAUUUUUGCGAAUUAUCUUAGGCAUCUUAUUUGUUCUUCUUAAGUGUUCGAUUUUUCCAUCUUAAUUUGUUCAUCCUAAUUAGAUACUGGUUAUUUUGUAUAUUUUACCUAAAACGUACCAACUUAAACAUCAAUGAACACCCAAGACAUUCAUAUGAAAAGAUGUGCAAUGAAUUAGCCACGACAACGAACAACUCUAGGAAGUACUUCAUAGUAGAGUACUAUCAAAUGAUGAUCAGCUUGACUAAGGUUCAAAUUGGACUUAGCGCAAACUAUGAGUUAAUUUACAAGCUAUUUUUAAUUUUCAUAGAGUUAUUGGUCCAUAAAUUAGUUGAGUUAAUACCAAAUAAUAAUAUAAUUUUAAUGUGCAUAUAAAAUCUGAUCAAAUUUCAAUCAAACUAGCUAGUUUAUAUUUACUAGUCGGUACAGAUUACUAUUUAUUUGGAGGGGACAUGAUGACGAUUUAUUUAUUUGUAGGGAACAACUAUCCUAAUAAUAUUUAUUGUUACAGAUUGUCGGGACUUAGGAUUUAGUUAUAUAGAGAGGCUGAGACAUAGAACUGCAAACCCCGUGUACAUGCAACUAGCUACACAUGCUCUAUCUGGAGGAUGUCACGGUUCUUGGGCUUAUGCACGUAUUCAUCGACUUCCUUUACAGUGCCGUACUUUUUCACCUUGUUUGUCACAAGAUACUGCAAUUUAAGGAGCUGGCCAUUAAAAAUCUGGAUGGUUACUAUUUUUAUAUACAGAUUUGGGACACCUACACGGUAAGAGUCUUCUAAAUCUCUCCGACGAGAUUCAACUAAACAAAUCUCUUAUUUUAUAUUUCCCGAUUUUGUUAAGCAUGUGAAGAGACUGAUGAUGAUCAUCAAACGUGUGAUAAGAAGUCACAAUUACUACCACCAGGGUAACUUUCUAUAUUACCGGCGUAACGAACACGUAUUCUACCACCGGGGUGCAAUUUUCAAAGAUACAUGCACGUUAGGCACGAAGAGAGUCAGAACAUUGAUGAUAUCAAUGUAUCACCGAUGAUCACCUCUGCUGGUACUGCUCCAUUUGAUUUAAUAGUAAAUUUUUGGCAUAAAAGCAAAAACAAAACAUUAGCAACUAUGUUGCUGAAUCAAAAGGCAACAUUCUUAUGUGCGAUUGAUAUACUCGCAUUUGGAAUGAUCCUUGCAAAGUAGAGCGUACGAAGCAGAGUGUACCAGAGACCACUUCAUGUGCGUUCCACCCAUGCCUGAAAGACGUAGUAAAACCUCGGGGUUCGCAUCAAUGCAGAGGUUGGAGAAGUUAAGCCAUUUUCAGUGAGUUGAAGUUAUUGGGAAAGCAACUCAACCAAUGAUACAAUUAUUACUCUACAAAAAGAAAUAUGUUUUUGGACAAACACAAAAUAAAUAGCGGUACCCAAAAAGUUCUAUCUUUUGGAUAUAACUCUUUGUGGGAAGAAGACUUCUUCCACUUACAUCUAACAAUAUUAUCCCGUUUGACAUAUGUAAUAAUAAAACCUCACAGUUUCACAAGAAAAACGCAUGCACUUUAAUUUUCCUUCGAGCACCAUUGGCUUCUGUAAGACUUUUCUCCGUAACCUUAUGACAUUUGUUCCCUACAAAUAAAUAAAUUAUCAUCAAGCCCCCUACAAAUAAAUAGUCAUUUGUACCGACUAGUAAAUAUAAACUAACUAGUUUAAUUGAAAUUCAAAAGUCAUAAAAAUUCACAAAUUUCGAUGGGAAAAUGAAUAUUAACCAUUAUUUUUUGUUCAAAAUAUUUCCGAUUAAAAGUCCAAAUCCAUUUUAAGAAAACUUUCUCAAUCGCCAUUGAAGGUACCUCGACAAUUAUGAUUCUGAAAAAGACAGCUGCGAAAUAAGAAUCUAUUCUGAUAAAAUCAAUAUCAAUAUCAUCCUUGUCAUCGAGACGGAUGGCUUCAACGUGGAAAUUUGCGUGACAUAUGUGAAAAAGAGUAUUGAUCAUAAUCAGCAGAAAAUCAUCUUUGUCUGCUCCGACAUCCUACACACCUAGAAUAUCAGUAUCUUCUAAAACGUCAUCGUUGUGGUAGACCAACCCAAGAAAUAUGUCUUUGGACAAACACAAAAUAAAUGGCGGUAUCCAAAAAGUUAUAUCUUUUGGAUAUAAUUCUUUGUGGAAAGAAGACCUUCUUCCACUUACAUCUAACAAUAUUAUCCCUCUUGACAUUUGUAAUAGUAAAAUCUCACUGUUUCAUAAGAAAAAUGCCACUUUAAUUUUCCUUUAAGUAAAAUCCCUAAAAUUUAUUUAACUAAAUAUAGAAUAAGUAAACAAAAAUACAUUAAUAAAUAUUUUCUGGUUAUCUCACAAAUAGUUAACUCAUGAGAGUUAGCUAUUUCGAAUAAUCAUUAAGUUUGAAAUAUUUAGGUCUUCCUCAUCAAUUUUGAUUUUUUUAUUCGGUUCGGUCGCGUGCAACAUGGAAUGUAAACACUGUCUCUAUGUCCUCUAAUUCAAGUUGUAAAUCGGAAGAUUUGUUGGAUACAUACAAUUGACUAUUGUAUAGUCACGUGUCUCGAUGUCCACCUUCGAGUGUACUAACGGUACCACAACAUGUACUCGUCAUGGAAAUGCCACCUCUCCGGAUCAUCAACUGCAUCAGCCUCCUCCACGUGUCCCGAUCUAGUCUCCUACUGGCCAAUGUACUACUACAUCAUUGCAGCCAUAGGGUUCCCGUUUCUUUGCAUCAGUCCUUGCUAGAAGGUGACAUCGCCCUGCAACAUCUCCACACCGGGGAUGGGUUGGGCGAUCCUGAAUUUUCUGAGAAUGCGCUAUGGCCGAUGCGCCUAUAUGCUUUAAGGAGAAAUGAGCAGCGUGACAAUCUCAUUCAUCUUGAGACAUCACCGAAUCCCCACAUCGGUAAUAUGGGACCCAUUGAAAUAAUAAUAGUAUCACUCUUGACAUUUGUAAUAGUAAAACCUCAUUGUUUCAUAAGAAAAAUACAUGCAAUUUAAUUUUCCUUCGAGCACCAUUGGUUUCUGUAAGACUUUUCUUCUUAACCUUAUGACAUUUGUUCCCUACAAAUAAAUAAAUUAUCAUCAAGUCCCCUACAAAUAAAUAGUCAUUUGUACCAACUAGUAAAUAUAAACUAACUAUUUUAAUUGAAAUUCAAAAGUCAUAAAAAUUCAUAAAUUCAAAGGGAAAAUGAAUAUUAACCAUUAUUUUUGGUUCAAAAAAUUUCCCAUUCAAAGUCCAAAUCCAUUUGAAGAGAACUUUUUCAAUCGCCAUUGAAGGUACCUCGAUAAUUAUGAUUCUCAAAAAGAUAGUUGCGAAAUAAGAAUCUAUUCUGAUAAAAUCAAUAUCAAUAUCAUCCUUAUCAUCGAGACAGAUGGCUUCAAUGUGAAAAUUUGUGUGACAUAUGUGAAAAAGAGUCUUGAUCAUAAUCAGCAGAAAGUCGUCUUUGUCUACUCCGACAUCCUACACACCUAGAAUAUCAGUAUCUUCCAAACCUUCACUGUUGUGGAAGACCAACCCAAGAAAUAUGUCUUUGGACAAACACAAACACAAAAUUAAUGGCGGUACCCAAAAAGUUCUAUCUUUUGGAUAUAAGUCUUUGUGGGAAGAAGACUUCUUUCACUUACAUCUAACAAUAUUAUCCCUCUUGACAUUUGUAAUAGUAAAACCUCACCGUUUCAUAAGAAAAAUGCAUGCACUUUAAUUUUCUUUCGAGCACCAUUGGCUUCUGUAAGACUUUUCUUCUUAACCUUAUGACAUUUGUUCCCUACAAAUAAAUAGUCAUUUGUACCCACUAGUAAAUAUAAACUAAGUAGUUUAAUUGAAAUCCAAAAGUCAUAAAAAUUCAUAAAUUUCGAUGGGAAAAUAAAUAUUAACCAUUAUUUUUGGUUCAAAAUAUUCCCGAUUCAAAGUCCAAAUCCAUUUGAAGAGAACUUUCUCAAUCGCCAUUGAAGAUACCUCGACAAUUAUGAUUCUCAAAGAGACAUCUGCGAAAUAAGAAUCUAUUUUGAUAAAAUCAAUAUCAAUAUCAUCCUUGUCAUCGAGACGGAUGGCUUCAACGUGGAAAUUUGUGGACACACGUGAAAAGAAGUCUUGAUCAUAAUCAACAUAAAGUCGUCUUUGUCUACUCCGACAUCCUGCACACCUAGAAUAUCAGUAUCUUCCAAAACUUCAUUGUUGUGGUAGACCAACCGUAAGGAAAUAAGAUAUUUGGCCUUUCCUGGGAGUUCCUCAACCGUCUUCUUCACAUCCAUCACUAUGGCGGUGGCCCGAAAUGUUUUUAAAAUCUAUAUUUUGAACCUAUGUUUUAUGUUUCUGUUUUGUCCAAAUACAUAUUUCUUUUUAUAUAGUGAUAAUUCUAUCAUUUUUCUUCUUCACAAAUAAAAUAAUAAUAAGAAUAAUAUGAGAAAUUUAAAAUAACAAGAAUAAUCCAAUCUUUUUUUUUCUUAUAAAAAAUAGAUUUCAUUCCAUAAAGAACAUUAAGUGCGAUACAAGCUCUGCUCAUAAUUAGCAAGGAAAUAACAAGUGUUUGUGAGUACUCUACUUUUCAUGAAGUGUCAAAUCUCAUUGUCAAAGCCAAGCUUGCAAAGCAAAUAUACAACUAUAGCGUUUGCAACUACUUUAACAUCAUGACUCUAGGACCAAAAUUUCCAACAACAAAAGUUCAGCGACUAGAAACGUAAUAACUUAAUAAACAUAACUAAAACGGUGCAGCUUCAAUCAUCCUCCAACAAAUUCUCCCCUGAACUGAGCACCAGUUCAAACAGCCUUCCGCUCUUCUCAGUUCUUGCUUUCUGAAUUGAUUUCAGCAUAACCAAUCAUUCCAACUUCUCUUCUUAGUAGCUCAAAUGUUUCCAUCUUUAGUGCCUUUGUCAUAAUGUUUGCUACAUGUUCGUUUGUACGAUAAGAACUCCAGUUUUAUCACUCCUUCAUUUGCCAGCUCCUUUAGAAAAUGAAAUCUAACAUCUAUAUGCUUGCUUCUGAUGUGUAACACUGAAUUCUUUGAAAGCUUGAUGGCUGAGUUGUUAUCACACAAGAUAAUGGUUGAUGUUGCAAUGCUUUCCUACCAUUCAAUAUGCUCCAUUAUCCUUCUUAUCUAAACACAUUGUGUAGCAUAGUAACAUGUUGUCACAAAUUUUGCUUAUGUAGUUGAUAGGGUUACCAAUAGUUGUUUCUUGGAUGCCCAUGAAAUAACCCCUCUUGCCAAAAAAAGAGAUAACCACUUGUACUUUUCCUGUCAUCCAAGUCAACAACAUAAUUACUAUAUGUAUAUCCAAUCAAACUCUUCUCCGCCUUCUAUCUUCUGUAAUAGAUUCUAAAACUUAAAGUACCCUUGAGAUACCUCAGAACUCUCUUGGCAGCCAACAUGUGUUGCUUCGUGGGUGCUUCCAUAUAUCUAUUAGGACUGUAUACUGGGUACAUUAUAUCUAGAUGAGUUGUAGUCAUAUAUAGCAGGCUUCCAGUCAGAUAUUUGUACUUAGUGACAUUGAUAAGGUCUCCAUCUUCAGCUUUUGUCAACUUCGUACCUGGAACCAUAGGGUUCUUCAUAAAAUUACACUCCAUCAAGUUGAACUUGGUCAGGAUCUUCUUUGCAUACUUCAUUUGACCAAUAACGAUUCGAGCAGCAUUUUGAAUUACCUUCACUUCAAGAAAAUAUCACAUCUUUUUAAGGUCUGUCAUCUCAAAUUCAAUCUUCAUCAAUGCCUUAAACUCUUCAAGAAGCUGGUUGCUACUGGAUAUAUACAUCAAAUCAUCCACAUACAAACUCACUACCAAAAUAUUUGUGCCAACUCGUUUGAUGAACAGUGUAUGUUCAUGAAUGUUUCUCUUAAAACCAAAAUUGAGAAAAUAACUUUCAAUUCGACUAUACCAAGCUCUUGGAGCUUGCUUAAGACCAUAGAGAACUUUCUGGAGCUUAUAAGCCUUCAAUUCCUCCCCAACAACCAUCAAUCCUUGUAGCUGCUCAACAUACACAUCUUCAUAAAACUCUCCAUAGAGAAAAGCACUCUUAACAUCCAACUGAUAGACAGGAAAACCAUGAAAAGCAACAUAGGCUAGUAAGAUUCUAAUUGUAUCUCAACGAGAAACAAGAGAAAAUAUCUUAGUGUAGUCAAGGCCGUACUUGGAGUAGCCUUUAGCAACCAUCCUUGCUUUAUACUUGUAUACUAAUCCAUCCUCCUUUGUUCUGUAUAACCAUUUGACUCCUAAUGGAAUUGUACUUGGAAACUGGCUCAUCAAUGACCGAAGAAUACGAGCUUUCUACUUAUGAUUGUUACAAAUUGAAUUAUAAUUAAAUCGCUUUAGGUCGUUUGCCGAUGCGCGUAAUUGACGAUUAUACAAUUCGAACAAUUUUUAAUUCAACAAGCUAAAUCGGCAAAGACCUUUUAAUUAAUUUUUUUUGAGAAAUUAAAAUGGAAUUUGAAUUCAAUCUCUAAGAGGACCAAUAUAGUUUGUUCUAUUUGUCCUGUUGAAUACUUGUAAAAAUCCAAAAUCCCUACUUUUUCUUUCGUUUAGAAAAACGGUUGUAACAAUCCCAUUUUUUAAUUUUUAAAUUAAAAAUAGGUCAAUAGACCUAAAUCUGAAUUCUAUCUCUAUUAUUUUAUUUGAAUUCCAAAUGUCAAUUUUUUAAUUAAUACGUCAAAGUAAUCAACAGAAUUUGAGCUACUUCAAUUUACAUCCGUCAGAGUUUGAUUCAAAUAGAACCUAAUUAGAAAAAGUUGUUCCUGGUCGGAUCAACAAAAUUAUGAAAAAACAAUUCGACUUUUUGAUCGCGGGUUUUAACGUGCAAUGAAUUUUCCGGGUUCAAUACAUGGUUUUAUUUUACUCUCUCUAGGCUUAGUUCUUAUCUUAGGGUCUGGGGUAGUAUUACUUACUAACCCAAUUUAUUCUGCCUUUUCAUUGGGAAGUAUUCAACCGGACAAAUGACAGAUAGUUAGUUUCCAAGUACAAUUCCUGCGAAUAGCUUCCAUUUCUACUUGCAUGGUCACAUUCCAUUUUGAAUCAAGACUGGCAGCCUUAUAUGUCAAAGGAUCAUCUGAAACUGCCACUAUAGCCAGCCAAUCUGUAGUUAUCAGAUUGCAAUCAUAGUCUUCCAAAUAUGAUGGAGGUCUUCUCAUACGUUGACCAAGGCCAUCUCCAUCUUAUAUAGAGUCAGUAGGACUUUUAGUUGAGCUCUAUGUUGAUGAGCUAACAGGAGUAGUACUUCCAAAUUGCUGAGAAGCCAUUGGUUAAGAGUUUGUUGCCUCCACCUCUAACACAUCAUCCUCCCUUUCUUCAUCAGAAUCAUACAUGUCAUCCUUCUUUCCAUCCCAAAUUAGAUCAGUAAACACAGGUUGGGACUCAACCUCCCAAGGCUACCCUUUUGUUUCGUCAAAACAACAUCUCUACUACUACAACCUUCUUUGUAAGAGGAUUAUACAAUUUGUAGGCCUUUGAUUCAACUGAAAUUCCCCAAAAUUGACAUGUGACACUCUUACUAUCUAAUUUCUUCCUCCGCUAGUCAAGUACAUGGACAUAAGCAGUGCAACCAAACACCCUUAAGUGUGAGACUGAUGGUAAUUGAUAUGUCCAAAGCUCCUGCGGAGUUUUUCAUUUGUUUGCUGUUGUAGGACUUCUAUUGAAAAUAUGAGUAGUACCGACAAUAGCCUUAGGCCAAAAAACAACAGGAACUUUGCUAUCAUUCAUCAUACAUCUCACCAUAUUUAUUACUAUUCUGUUCUUCCUCUCUACAACUUCAUUUUGCAGAGGUGUAAAUUCCCACUUCAUCACAUAAAGUUCUAAAUUCAUGUAACAUGAACUUCCCUCCAUGAUCCGUUCUAAGACAAGCUAUAGAGAGACCAGUUUCUUUCUCCACUUGAGCUAUAUAUUUUUUGAAUAUUUCAAAGGUAUAUGACUUGCUCUCUAAGAAAUGCACCCAUAAUUUUCUACUGAAAUUAUCAAUGAUAGUCAAAAUAUACCUCUUUCCUCUGUUGGAUGAAGGAGUGAUAGGUCCAAACAGAUCAACAUGAAGUAACUUCAGUUCUGAUAUGCUCUCCAGUUACUUCUUUUAGAAAAUGAAUUCCUUUGUUGCUUUCCUACCAUGCAUGUCUGACAAACUCUUAUAUUGCCUUUAAGAGCAGGCAAAUCCUGCACCAACUUUUCUUUACUCAAAUCCAGCUGACUGCUUUAAUUCAGAUGACCAGACCUACAAUGUCACAACAACAAAGCAUCAUUUGAAGUCCCUUCUAUCUAUAGACACUUGAGAUCCUUCCUUCCAACUUUAGACUCCCUGAUGUCUACAUGUCAGAAAACCAUUAUGUUGGUUUUCAUUUGUGUUUCUAGCAGUAAUCCCUUCCUCUCAUGAACAAGCUUGCAAUAGCCAUCUGAAAAAGCUACUCCUUUUUCUUACAAUUGUCCAAAACUUAUUAGAUUUGUCUUUAAACCUGGCACAUAAAACAAAUCAUGCAUCACCAGUAAAACUUGAUUCAAAGAAAAUUUCAUUGUUCCUUUUCCAAUGGCAAUGAGCUUGAAACUAUUUUCAAGCCUCACACUAUAGUUAAAGUUGUUAUCAAUGAUUGUAAACCAGCUUCUGUCUCCACUCAUAUGAUUACUUCAGCAAGAAUCCAAGAACCACCAAUUCUGAUGGUUUUUCACUUCUUCCUCUUGAUCAACGGAUGUCGUCAGCAUGACAUCUUCCUUCAUAUCACCAUGUGAUCUAUCUUGUGUUGAAGCUUAGUCAUGGUAGGGUUGAUAGUUAGAAUAGUGAGCCAGUUGGUUUAAAUACCAUUCUGGACAUUCAUUUCUAUAAUGAUCAAGCUUAUGGUAUUUAAAAAAUUUCACUGACUCUUUACUCCACCCUCUACCUCCUCUUCCUCUUUCUCU